GCCAAACUGAAGCAUCUUGAGUCAUUAUGUCCAAAGCGGUUAGAUGAGACAAACUCNUUAGCUCUUCUAGACUUGCAUUUUUGCUUUGAUCGUUGCUUCCCUUGACAUCCCAUUGAAUAAAGCAAUUCCCCAUGUACAACUCUUCCAAGCACGUUAAGCUGGAAAUAAGAUUUGCAGGAAUGAAUCUCAAUGCAGAACAGUUGGUUAUAUUCAACAUUCGAAGAUUAUUUAGUUGUCCUAUUUCUUUUGGGAGCUCUUUAAUAUCAGAUCUUUCAAGCCUGAGAAUCUCUAAACUUUUCAACUCUGCAACUAUUGAUAUGUCUUCUAACACACAUCCUGUAAGAACCAAUGUUUGGAGUUUUGUCAAGAGACAUAGUGAAGUUGGUGGAGACGGGGCAAACAUCAUUCCAUAUAAACUAAUGACCUUUAGCUCUAUCAUCCCAGAGAAGAAGUCAUCGGGGACUUUCAAAUAAUCUCCUAUAUUCUGAAGCUGCAGUAGCUUCAACUCUGGGCACUUCAACUUCUCAGGAAGCUUGUAAAUAAAAGACCAAGGAAGGAUGAUCUGAUGGCAUUUUUGAAGCUCAUCCAUCCCAGGCCAUUGAUUUACUUUAGUGUACCUUUUCACCCCAUAGGUUGGUCGAGUCCUACAUGCAAUUGAUUUAGCCAUAUCUCUUACAUAAUCAUGAAUUCUAACCCGAUCAAAUUCAGACUCAAGUAACAAUGAAGAUGCCUUAAGGUCAUUUAUUAAUCUGUUGAAUCUGAUUCUUGCAUCUGCAAAUUUGUGAGAAUGUCUAAAUAAGCCCAACCCCCAAUAACAUACUAAAAGUGGUCCAGUGUAGAGGUAAUCCAGUCCAAAGGAACCAAUUAAUAAGAAUAGCAACUUCAGUUCUUCACUCUCUAAACAAUUAUAACUCAAUUCCAGAGUAGAGUAAACUUUCUUAUUCAACCCUUCUUGAUCAAAUCUCUGUAAUUCAUUUAAGGCAUCCUUCCAAUUAGAGACUUGUUUUUUCCUCAAAGCCUUUGCCGUAGUGACUAUCAAAAGGGGCAAACCAGCACAACAUUUGGCAACCUUUAUCGCAAUUGGUUUUAUAUUGAAUUCGUGAACAACAUCACCUGCCAUCUUCUCAAACAAUUUCCAGCUAUCCUCCUCAAGUAAAACUUCAAGUCUAAAUUCUUUUUGAGUGCCCAUCUCACAAAUCAACACAUUAAGAUCUCUGGAUGUCACCACCAAUUUGCAUCCUUUGUGAUCAUUACCAAAAGGAACCCCUAGUUCUGUCAAAUCAAGUCUCCCCCAAAUGUCAUCCAAAAUAACAAGAAUACGCUUCUCCUUGGUUAUCCUAUCACGUAAUUCUCUUGCCUUUCCUUCUUCUGUUUUCUUUUUAAACUUGAAAUCCAAGGCUUCAGCAAUUUGACGUCGAAUUGUUUCAAGAUUUGGUAAACUUGUUAUAGUAGCCAUAACAAUAGUACCAAAUGACCCAUCAUUCUUCGCUUUCCAAGAUAACUCUUUCAUCAGUGUUGUCUUCCCCACACCACCCAUUCCAUACACCCCAACAAUGAAGAUGCUAGGAUCCUUCAAUGCCAGUAUAAUUUCAUUUAACAUUGAUGUUCUGGAUUCAAGGGCCUCAUAACCUCUACCGAACGGCGUAACUGUAAUUUGAGAAGCAGCACGGUAGGAAAUUUUAUCAAAACUUCCUUUUGCUACGAUUUCAGAAAUCGUUUGCAUCAUCUUUAUCAUCUUCUUACUUAGCUGGUGCCUUGUGCACAAAUUGGGAAAAUGUCUCAUAGAACAUUGAGCUUUUGCAUGGCCUUCACUGUCAAUAAUUUCAUUUGCAUCUGCAACAGUGUUGUCCACUGUGUUCAACCAAUUCUGGACAAUAUUUUCAAUCUCUUCCCCGUUCCUUCUGGCCUCAUCAACAUUGUGUUGCAAAAUGUCUUUUAUUCCCUCCAAAUGUUGGACAUCAGUUGUCAUCUUGGUAAGGUUGCCCUUGUAAUCAAAUUGACGACGAAUAGCUUCAACCGUAAAUUCAGCAGUUUUAGUAGCAAAGUUAAUAAUAACUCCCAUGACAACAUCCAUGGUCACCCCUUUGCUAGCUACCAAUUUGAGUUUAUAGAAUUUUUUCUAUUGAAAUAGAGAGUUAGAUUCUAAUUUACGAGAAAUAUUUUACCACUUUAUAACAGCACAUGAAUAAACAGAGAAAAAUGAAAGCACAGAAAUGAAGACAAUAUUAAAUGAUUGGUGGAAGAAGAAAAAGAGAAGAGAAACACCAUCGUGUGGCAUAAAAAUGUGUCUGUGUUCAAUUUAGAAAAACUCAAAUAAACAUUAGCAAUUCAAAAAAUCAUUAAAAAUUUAGAAAAAUUAGAAAAUUCAGCAGCUUUAGAAAAAAAAAAUUGAAAUAAAAAAUUAUAUUGCCAUCUCUUAUUUGUUAGCUGUUAGUUGAUUUUUUUGGUAGUAAGCUGACGAGGACAAAUGUUAGUUGAUUUAAAACAAUGAAUACAAUUAGGUCAAAUUUGCUAAUGAGUGUUUUAUAUCACUGAAAUGAAAACUAAAAUAAUAUUGAUAUUUAUGGAUUAGUUUAUUAAGUGUAAGUCUUCUAUAAUCACAACAUAAAAUAAACAAUAUUUAGACAUACUCACAUUAAAUUAGAAAAAUUAAAACAAAAAUAAUUUGAUCACAUCAAUCAACAUCAUUUAAGUCUUGAGUUAUGGGUUGUGUUGUCGCUCAAAAAGUCGACUUAGGGGGUUGUAUUAAAUUGAGAUUUUGAAGGAUUUUAAAUGACUUUUUGGUUAUAAAAAAAUCUUGAGGUAUUCAAUCAUGAUUUUAAAAUAUUAGAAAUAAUUUCAGUGGUAUUCAAUUAAGAUUUUCAGGCAUUUUUAAAGAGUCCACAUUAUUAAUUUUUUACUCAUGAUCACGUUAUUGCAUGUUUAUUUUUAUUUUUAUUUUUCAGUUUGUCCUAAGACUUUUUGUAUUAAUUUUAAUUUUAUCAUGUAAAUUUUUUAUUUUUUAUUCAAAUAUUAGAUUUUUCAGUUCUUCCUAAGGUUUUUUGAAUUUUUUUAGUUCAAUAGAGGCAUCCAAUCUUGUAAUUUUGAAUUUUUUCUAAAAUUUAAUAGAGUCAUUUCAAAUCCUAGGAAUUCUCAUAAAGUACUUUCAAAUCUUUAAAAGUCUUUGAGUUAAAAUCCUUCAAAAUCUCAAAAAAUCUUGAAAGUUAAGGCAUUCCUACACAAUCUUUUAAAAUCUUCAUGACUUUUUUUACCAAAAUAGUCUUUCAAAAUUUCAAUCCAAUACACCAUCCUUAGUAUUUAUGACAAGUUAGAGCAGACACAAAAACACCCAGUCAUAGAUGAAUCGUGCAUUUAUUGAUUGUUUCGACAAAUAUGUGCUCGUCUUUUCAAAUUUUUUGAUCACGCUAACGUUGGUAAUUAUAAACAAUACUUUUUACGAAAUUUUAAUUAAAAGUAUAAAUAUAGAUGUUUGUGACUUUCAAAUUAUAACCAACUUAACAAACCUUUUUGUCAAAAAAAAAUAAAAAUAACCAACUUAAUAAACCAUAUUUAUAUUUUUCAAUGGCACUAACAAUAUAGCAAAUAUAAUAUAAAUUUUUUAUUUCUUAAUGAAACCAAUAAUAAACAUUAGUAUAAAAAAAAUUGUUUAAGGGUAUGACUGGGAUAAUAAAAAAGUCAGUCAAAAAUCUCUUAUCCCCAUUACAUAUAUCAAUAGCAUCAAGAAGGGCACUAUCAUGCCCCUCUUUCCGCUUUUAUUGACAAAGAAUGCUAAAAUUGUAAAAAAUAUUAAGUCAAGGGUAAAGUUGGAAUAAAACAUGUUAGAUCAAAACACAAUUUUUUUUGUUUAUAUAAGGUCAAAAUAAGGUUUCUCAUCAUGCUUCUCCUUUUGUUGUGAAUUAUUCAUAUUUUAAUGGGAUUUAAAUAAUUUUUUAAUUGAUAAUUUAAAUAAAAAUAAUAAAGAGUUUUUCUAUUCACACCCCAUCUAUUUCUGGUUACACCAAACUUUACUUAAAAGUUUAUAAUAAUAUCAAACUAAGUUUACUUGACCUACUUAAACUAAGUUUAAAUGACCUAGUUAAACUGAGUUUAAGUAUGUACACUAAAAAAACUCAGUUUAAAUAACUUACUUAAAUUGUGUUUUGGAAAAGGAAAGAAGGAUGAGACGUAAGUUUUUUGGGUGAAUGGAUAAAUUUGAAAAUUAAAUUUUAUUUAAGAGUAAUUUUGUCAUUGUGGGGUGUAACCAGGAAUAUCUAUGGUGUUAAAUGAAGGGGUAAAAAUGGAAAGAAAAAAUUCAGCCGAAAUGGCUCUUCCCAUUCCUGUUUUAAUGAGAUUUAGUUUUUUUAAUUAAUAAUUUAAAUAAUAUUAUAAAACGUAAAUAAAAUUGUUUAAAUAAAGAAUAAAGUAUGAAAGGAAACAGACAUAUAAAACUCAUGCAUUCUGCUUAUAUAUGGUAUAGAUUUACUAAAGUGUUUUUUUUUAGGAAAACUUAUCAAAGUGUUGAAAUGAGAAAAAAUUGCCUAACCCUAAUUUGCUGAUUUGUCUAGGGUUACAAGAUUGAAGAAAACAUCUAUUGAUUAACGAGAAAAAUAUCCUAAUUUUUGUGGUUGUGGUAUUAAUGUAUGAAGUGUGGGACCCUAAAAAAUAUUAAUCCUUAGUGAAGAUAUUGAGAGUGGGUGUGUGCCCUAAAUUGUCAUGACUUAAAUAAUUUUUGAAAAAUUCGUUGUUAUGCAAGCAACCUAGUUGCUUUACUUGAAAAAAUGAAAAAAGAAAUGUUAGAUGUGUUUGUGGUUUAUGUGAAGUACAGAAAAUAAUGUAAACACAAAGGAACCUAAGGAAAAAAUUUCUUAGAAACGUUGAAAAAUUAUAAGUGUCAAAGUUUUGGUUUUGAAGAAACAUUUUGGUCAAGAUUGAGGAAAAACCUAAAUUUUUGUUUGUGUUGUUGAUUUCUUUAUGUUUGAUAAAAAUAAAGAUGCGAGAUAAAACAGGAGAUUCGUUAUUUUAGAACUUUGAUUUUUAUGGGAUUUUUAUGUGUAGUUGAUUUAUGAUAAUAAAACAAACCCUUGACUGUAUUUGGGGUACUGAUCAAAGCCACGUUAUAUUUUAGAACGUUGAAGGAUAUUCAUAUUAAUUUAGUUAGCAAAGAUUUAGAUGAUGGAUAUUUGUCUUACAUAUGAUUGGAUAAAUAUGUUCUAAUUAUAACUCAUUUUGUGGAUGGUAUGUAAAUUUUUGCAUUUCCAUAAGAUGGAGAGUCGUAUGUUAUUAUUUUUUAUUUUUUUAGGGAGAGUUGUAUCUUCAUGUAUUUCAUAAUUUUUUUUUCAACAAGUCAUGCAUUUCAUAGUUAACUAUAUGUUGGAGAGACUACACUCGAUGUAGAAUUUUUCUGUAUGGAGCCCACUUUAUCAUGGAGGAUUUUAGUAUGUAUUUGGUUGGUCUAUGACUAUAGCCCUUCAGAAAAGCUCGACACUACUAAUUUCAUUUAAUUUAUUUGUAACUUUACAAAUGAAAUUAGUAGUAACGAGCUUUUUACCUUAGUGAGAAAAAUAUUAUCUGGGUAAUAGAUUGGUUGACUUGCAACCAUGUCUUAACUACUCAAAAAAGACUGCUAUAUUGACAAUAUAAGAUAGAUUUAGAAAGAUUCAUAAAUCAUUGCUCAUUUAAAUUCAAAGAAAUGCAACGAAAUGAAGAAAUUAAAUUACCUUUAAAUAUGCUAGAGAUUCUGAUUUCAAAUACUCAGUUCUUCGUUUUCUUCUUCGUUGGGUGCGAGCUUUUGAAGUAUCAGAUGCAAAUGCAGGUUGUAUUAAUUUGUGUGUACUUAAUUAGGGGUUUAGGGAUACAUUAUUUGUAUAUCUUGCAAGAAAUUUGCCUAAUUAGCUUUGGUAUCAUUGUAAUUAAUAAACUUAAAAGUGUCUCUUUGGUAUAACUUCUUCUUUUUAGGAAUCAUUGGUAUAACUUGUCUCAACGCAUUUGGAAUUGGAUUUUCUGUUUAAUUAGUAUAAUUUCCACCUUUUUAUCAUCAAAAGUAAAAAAUUAAAAUUAAAAUUGGGCCGUUCUUUUUUAAACUUAAAGCGGUCUUAAUUAUUAAAAAAUAAAAAAUAUCACUAAUUGCGCAUGAAACUUUUUACUCGAUUGGUCUUGGUAUCAUUGCAUUGUAAACUUUUUUUUUAAAUAAGGUAUCAUUGUAAACUUAAAGUACAUGCAUUUGAACAAAUUAACAACUUAACUAAUCCGCUAAUCAUGCUCUCAAUUGGUUUUGGUAUCAUUGUAAACUUAAAACUGUCGGUUUAGUAUAACUUGUGUUCAAUGGAUUUUCCUAAGUUUUGCGCUUAAUUUUGUUCUCAAUUUGAAAUGAAAUAUAAAAAAAAAAAAAAUAGUAGUUUAAAAGUUGAUGUAUGUGGUUGUUGACGUGAAAAUAGGCUUACUAGAUAAAACCAGUAACUCGAAAGAUCAAUUUAGGAUUUAAGUUUGAUCCUCAUAGGGUUUCUAGUUGAUAGAUUUAAGGUCACAAGUCUUAAUGUCCUUGACGUAAAAUAAUUUUGACUUGCAUACAUCAUUCAAUUCAAACAACAAGCAAGAUGUGUUAGGGACAAUAUAUUUAUCUAGUAUGCCUAUUUUACCCAACAUGAAUGAACUCUUUUGCAUGGAGUCUGAUUCUAUUAUUUAUACAAAAAUAACAAACUAACUUCUUAAAUGAAUGAAUUACAAGUGUCCUUCAAGAUCCUUCGUUAUUUUGAAAACAAUUUAACAUAAACUAUCUUUUAGGACAUAUAACAGUUGUUCAUACAUGUUGGAAUAUCUCUAAUUUAUAUAGUACAUUUGAAGUGGUGUUGAUACAAUCCCCAUUGUCAUCCAUUAAUAAUAUAUUCAAACCAUAUCUUGAUCACGUGAUAUUGCAGCAUAUAUGCGAGAACACCGAUUGUGGAAAAUAGAUGCCAAUUUGCUCAAGUGAUUGCCCUUAACUUUUGUUUAUAGACAUUGCAAAACACAUAACUAUAGGAAAUUGUCUGCGCUGAAAUUUGAAAGGAAUUAAUUCUCGUAUUUGAUGGUGUCAAUGACAACAUUGGAGAUAACCAAACCUUAGAUCUCGAGAAGAAGCAAACUCUCAGGCCCCAAGCCAUGGUCGCUAUAUAUUUGAAUGAAGAAAAACUUAAACAACUAAAAGUAGCACCGAAAUUGGAUAUGAAAAUAAAGUGAAAUACUUAUCGUCGCUUUAAAUUUGAGUGAAGAAAGUUCUGGUGAACUUAGCUCAAUUGGUAGGGACAAUGCAUAAUAUAUACAAGGUUCGAGAUUCAAACCUCGGCCACCACAAAAAAUUUGAAUGAAGAAAAAUACUUUAAAUAACGAAAAAAAUAGUAACAGAGUUGGGUAUGAAAAUAAAGAAUUUGAGUACAAAUUUCAUCAAGUUUUUUAUUAAAGACAAAAUGAAUGUAUUGAAAAACCACAACCAAGUACAAUAUGUGCAUGGACGGAAAAUUACAAAAUAAGGCUUAUAAAUACAAAGGUGAAAAAAACUUUAAAUAACUAAAAAAAAAAUAGCAACACAAUUUCGUAUGAAAAUAAAGAAUUUGAGUACAAAUUUCAUCAAGUUUUUUAUUAAAGACAAAAUGAAUGUAUUGAAAAACCACAGCCAAGUACAAUAUGUGCAUGGACGGAAAAUUACAAAAUAAGGCUUAUAAAUACAAAGGUGAAAAAAAACUUUAAAUAACUAAAAAAAAUAGCAACACAAUUUGGUAUGAAAAUAAAGAAUUUGAGUACAAAUUUCAUCAAGUUUUUUAUUAAAGGCAAAAUGAAUGUAGUGAAAAACCACAGCCAAGUACAAUAUGUGCAUGGAUGGAAACUUACAAAAUAAAGCUUAUAAAUAUAAAUAAUCAAAGCCAAAUGACACCAAAAUCAUGAUAAAAAGCACCAUUAUAACAAAAGAUGUACUCAUUGCACCACUUACAAAACACUCUAUCGGUCAACAAAGAAACACCACUACCAACUUGAUCUCAAAUGAUCCCAUGCAUAACCUACAAAUGAGAGACCAAAUAUAAUUCAAUUCCAUGAAGGUAACAAUCUACGAAAAUCUCUUCAUGAACUCGCCAAUUAUGGAGACACUUAUGCAAAGAAUCAACACCAGCAACUUCUACAUGAGUAUAAGUUGAAUGUAGCAAUAACCUCUCCAUGGAGCAGUCAACGCGCAAUAAAUGGACAAACAUUAUAGUUAAAAAUCUGCAUAAAUGAAUCACUUGAUAACCUAAGACACCUCAAACCUUUCUGUUUACCUUGGUUUUUGGUAAACAACCGUUGACUUAAAAUUAGUUACAUGCAAGAUCAACCAGUAAAUCUUAGGACAUACUGUGUUUGUUAUUUUCGAAAAUUAUGAAUGUUCUUGAUAUUCUUAUGUAGAAUAUGAAUAUAACCGUCGAAUUAAACAAAGAUUGAACCCGUCGAAGUUAUCUUCAAAGGAGUAGGAUAGAAUGCUUGAAAAGAACAAGUAAAUUGCAAAGGAAUUUAAAGAAAUAAAAGUAAAUUGCAUAGACUGAAUGUAAAUUGGUACACAGAUUCAAUACAUUGUGACUUGUUACUCGUUUCUCUCUGAAUGCGGAUAGUUUGAGUGUAAGUUUUCUGUAUGAUUGAAUUGUGACCCAUUUUUCCUAUGAAAAGCUACUAUUUAUACUAAGUAACUACCUACACAGAACCGAUCGAACUUAACUGCUAAAAACUACCACAUACAUCCCUUUGAUUUGAAUUUCAAUUGACAUCCUUCGACAGUAACCGUUGCUUGGCUCCUUUAUCUAGCACCAACCUCUCUUCGACGCUUGCUUGCUUGUCAAACCAUCACCAUAAAAACAUCAAAUCUCUUUAAGUCCAAGAAUUCGAAGUUAGUGAAUCGAACUCAUUAACUCUCUUCAAAACCUAAGUCAAAUUCAACUGACUGCAUUUAUUAUAGCCUGUCAAAAACACAGGCUAACAAAACAACAAUAGCAUAAGCAAAAUACCAGCAGAAAAGUGGCAUUAGUCUAUGCUACACAAGCACAUACCAUUAAAUUUUUUCCAGUCCCUGGUGGUCCAUAUAAGAACACUACAAAUUUGAGUUUCAUUGAGGCUGUAUUUUUCUAUUUUGUAUCAUUGUCAUUGAGGCUGUAUUUUUCUAUUACAUUAUAAGUUCAAUUUGAGUUGCUAUCUCAAGCUAUGGUUUAUAUAGUUAUUCAUACAUAGCAGUUGAGCACACAAAUUAGUGUUCAAAAUCAGAUUAAUUGUUGUAGUAGACUUUAAGAUUCUGCAAUAAAACAAAGGUACGAGAAAGAAAAAAAAUUAAGAAAUGAUAAAUAUCUUUCAUUCAUUUUUGUAAACUUUGACAAAUUUCAGAUUUGGAUUAAUCAAUGAUCUGAAAUUUACAUGAAUCACAUCAGUCAUCACAUUCCUAUUACUUUUAACCCAACACUUUGCCUAGUGCCUAUGCAAAUAUGUCAGGAUUGUGUAAAAGUGUUGGGCUUUUUUAAGUUAAAAGAAAAUGAAAAUGGAUAUCAUUCCAUCUAUACUAUUAACGAAUUCCCCCUUCCUUUAACCAAUUGAUUAACAGAGACAAAUUGAAGACCAUCUAUACUGUCAACAAAUUCCCCCUGCCUUUAACCAAUUGAAUGAUGAUAUCAAAGAAUCGACACAAAUUAGAAAGAUUAAUCAUGAUAAACAAGAAUUCAAGUAUCCUGACCGUGGGUAGGGGUAAGUGCCACACAAAUUUUACACGAUGAAACACAAUAAAAAAAACAAUUCAAUAAGAAGGUAACCUUUGUGGAGACGCAACUCGCCAGCACUUUGCUUCUUAACAUAUACUCCAUUGCUGGCGUUUUCAGCUUGUUCUCUUUUCUUUUCUUUUCUUUUCCUACAAGAACCGACAUCAACUAGCAUUAGAACAUUUCAUAUAACAGACAAAGAAAUUAUCCAAGCAAAAACAACAUCUACAACUUCCUUUCAAUAAGAACAACAAACAGACUAAAACAAAAACAACAAAACAAAAAAUACCAAUCAAGCCCGUCCCCAUCUAACAGCUUUGUAGCUUCUGCAAUCAAACAGAACCUUUUUCAGAAGCAACAAAUAUUACAAGCUUGAUAAAAAAAAAUAGCUAGGUUACACAUUAAACUUAACCCAGCUAAUCAAUAAUGAUAUAAAAGAAUCGACACAAAUUAGAAUGAUUAAUCACGAUAAACAAUAUUAAGAUCGCGUUUAGGUAAAAAAAAAAAUACUUAAUCACACAGAUUCAACAAAAAGCACUGCUAUCUAAUCGUAGAACUUCAACCUGUACGAAAAACCAAAGAAAUCACAGAUACUAGAUACUUCGUUUAAAUAUUAAUUAAACAAAAUAAAAUUUCAAUUAGAGACAGAUAUAGGUAAAUUAUGAAUUAGGGUGAGGUUGUUAAUUAGAAAAACAGAAACCCUAGCAAAGGAAAGGGCAAAGGGAUCGAUAAUUGAGAGAGAGUAAUAGCGUGAGAGAAAUUAAGGAGCGAACCUCACCUGGUUGAGAAGAUGAUAAAGAACUAAACAUGGUUGAUUUCACAGCUUAGCUCUGCUUUGAUUAUCAAUGCUGGCUGAGGUUGUGGGUGAGAGUGAAAUUGGGGAAGAGCAAAUGAAAUUGGAAAAUGAAAUAUGGGGAAUGCUUCAAUUGAGCCAUAGGUAGUAGAGAUUUAGGUUUUAAUUUGGGGGAAAGUUAGAUUGUGGAAUAAAAUUGGGUUUUAGGGUUUUUGAGCAAUGGGAGGGAGACUGAAAUCGGGAAAGCGGGAGUGAUAGAAUAUUUGGCCAAAAUAUUUAUUGUGAAAAGCGCUUGAAAAAAAAGUAUAAAAGCUGCGACCCUUAAUCCAAACAGUCGCAAAAGUGUGAUUUGUGACAGUUCUAAGCCAAGGGUCGCAAAGCAAAUGUCGCAAAAUGACAAAUUUCUUAUAGUGAGAAAAAAAAUGACGUUUUUGAAUCUUGCUGAACACAUUUCAUUUAGUCGAAACGAAUAACUUCUUAGUAUCAGCACCAAAAGGCAGUUGAAAAACCUUUUGUGAUGUCAUCAAAUCCCACUUAGUGGGCCAUGUUCCAAUAUUUGAGAACUACCAUUUUCUUCUUUUUUUUAUAAUCGUCAACCUAAGAUGUUGACACUUGUUGAAAAUCUGAGACUAUAAAAAGGUAUAAACCUUUUCUUCUUCACUUUUUCAGUUUUACUCAGACUUUAUACUUUCUUCUUCCUCUCCUCUAUCACGAAAUUUUAUCGCAUUUUCUCAAACCCUUAAAAUCUCCAUCAACAGAUGAUUCUUUCUGAAAAAAUCAUCCAUCAUUUUCUUAUCAUGACGAACAACAGCGAAAGUCCUUCACCAUCUCAGCCGGAGCGAGGGUUACAAAAUUUCUCCAUGCAACAUCAAUCUGGCAACGCUUGGUUCGCUAGCGAACUGGAAUUGAAAGAGAUAAAAGCUCAAAUAUGGAAAUCCCAGGAACUGAUUCCUUCUUCUGAUUCACGUAUGCAUAUUUAGGACCCAUUGAGAGAGAUGAUAGCGGAGAAACUAAAGAAUUAUUUCCCGAUGAUAAGACGGAUUCACCUCUUAUCUUUCCCAGAAACCAUGACGAGCCUUAUAACCUUAGUUAUUUAGAUACUAGGUUUUUUAGGUCAGCCCCGAGAAUCGAUAAAGUCAAAGAUUAUAUCGCAUGGCUCGAUAGGAUGGAAAAACAUAAAUGUAGUUUUUGGAAGGAUUUAGGCAUUUUUAACCUUAUUCAGCUGUCGAGACAAGGUCCUAGAUAACAUAAACAUAUGCUAUUGGCUGCACUCCAUUUUUGGAAUAGUUCCACCAGUAGUUUGCAUCUGAAGUGAGGCAUGCUUACGCCUACAUUGCUAGAUGUUGCAGCCAUUACUAGCCUAAAACCUACUGGUGAAACUUUCGACCUAAGCACUAGUGAGUCAGUCAUUAUAUCUUUGAUUUUGGUAAAGCCACUUGUGGUCACUAUAUUAGAGACCAUCACAAACCUGAUGACAAGGAAGUUUCAGAUGAUGAACCCAUAGCCUUUUUGACCUAUUGGUUAUCCCUGUACGUCUUUUGCACAAGAUCUAACCAGUUAGCAAAACACUAUAGAACCUUAGCCUACCAAUUACAUGAAGGAAAACAAGUUUGUCUUGGAAAACUUAUCUUAGGUUCUUUGUAUGAGUGUCUUAAUGAUGGAGCAGCUGACAUGAGAGACCAAGUUGAGAGUCUAAUUAUCCUUGACCCAAUCUGGCUACUCCAAUUGUGGCUGUUAACCACUUUAAAGUCAAAGCUAAUUGACACUGCCUUUCUUCCUGGGGACUUCAAAGCUAAUUGGCCUCGCAUUGUUUCGAUAUAAAGAAACCAAAACUAGCCAAAAGCUUUUUUCAGAAGCUUUUAAAGUCUUUAUGGAUUGUGACGUCUUCACAUCUUCUCUAGCUUCCUUUUCGACAAGGACAUCUGGGCCAGCAUGGUUCGUUAGGAAAUUUCCUGCCAAAAACGUCGAACACUAAGAAGAAACCAAUGUCGUUUGGAAAGCUUAUUUGACUCCUACUCUCCUCUCGUAGGACANNNNNNNNNNNNNNNNNNNNNNNNNNNNNNNNNNNNNNNNNNNNNNNNNNNNNNNNNNNNNNNNNNNNNNNNNNNNNNNNNNNNNNNNNNNNNNNNNNNNGGAUCCAAUACCACUAUAGAUUCCAAUGGUACAUUUGGCUAUCAGCCAAAUUUAGUGGCAAGGCAAUUCGGUUUAAUCCAAACCCAUCCCGGCUCAUUUUUCAAAGCUAAGAGAGACAUAAAGAGACCAAAGCCCGAACAACGAUGGGGGACAUAUCUUCCUAAAUUUAACGAAGUAGUUCCAGACUUCAAACCUGUCCAUUUCGAACUCUCAUAUGAAUGCACUAAAUCGUUCUUUAAAUUGUGGAGAGGAUACUUCGUUGACAAAAGAAAAAAGUGAACUUAGACAUUUUUCUUUCUGAGCUGAUCUCUGUUUUUAAUUUUCUGCAGACAAAAACAAAGAAACGAAAGGUAUGCACAUUCGAGAAAUUCAAGCUUUCCAAAAGUACUUUGAAACUGUAUAUGAUCCUUUACAUCUUAGUCGGACUGUUUAUUAUGCUGCUAAAACACUAAAAGAAAAACUUUUAGAAAGAAUUGCAACAUGUAAUUCCAAUAUCCAUUCUCUUACCAGAUUAAAAUCUAUUGAAGUCAAAGGUUGUGAGAAGUUGAAGCAUCUGUUUUGGUAUUCCCUCGUUAGUGACCUUCCUCAACUUCUUGAUAUAAAAAUUUCUAAUUGCAAAAUGAUUACAGAAAUAAUAGUUGUGCAAACAUCAGAAGCUAAUAAAGAGAUCAACAAGAUUCUGUCCCCCAAGUUGCGUUCUCUUGAACUUGAACGUUUGCCGAGACUCAUUAGUUUCUGUUCUGUGCCUUUGACAGCUGCACAAUGCACACCGUUGGCACUAAUUGAUGAAAAGGUAAGAACACGAUUUUACUGACGGUGCAGUAUUUUUGUUUCAUCAAAUCCCAUAUCUUUCCAUUAUCUCACCAUCUCACUUUAUCUUGGUUUUUCUCUCAACAUAAAUGACUGUUACAAAUGAGAUCUUGCUGAGAAUUUUUUUUGUUAAUAGGUUGGAAUGCCCCACCUUGAACUCUUCAAGCUGUCUAAUAUCACCUCUAGGAGAUUGUAGGAUAACAACUUUCCAGGUCAUUCUUGCAUUCAAAACUUGAGGAGUUUGACGAUUGACAAAUGUGGUAGCAUAGCUUACACAUUUUCGUCCUCAGUUGCUAGAGAACUUGUAAACCUGCAAUAUCUUGGCAUUAAUAAUUGCCUGAUGUUGGAAGAGAUAUUUGUCUCCGAUGGAAAUUUGGGCAAUCUAACUUCAACUCAGAAACCAUUUUCUGAUGAUGAGGUGAGCACUAUCUCUAAUUCUGUAAUUGUUAAUAACUAUAGUAUGAUUUCCUUUUUAGGUCUGCUGCUUGUGCAAUUAACCAUUAAAAAUAUAAGCAUAUUCCUGAUUGUAGGUUAUAUUUCCAAACUUGGAGACAUUGGAAAUCUCCAACUUGAAACACAUGAAGUCAGUUUGGCCCAAUCAACUAGCUCCAAAUUCGUUCUGCAAACUAAAGCAGUUGAAAAUUGAAUCCUGCCAUAAGUUAUCAAAUGUAUUUCCAUCUUUUGUGCUUGACUAUAAGUGAUUGUCCUGUACUGGAAGUAGUAUUUGAAGCUGAUGACAGUCCGUCAUUCGCUAUUUCUAGAGUCUUUUUUAUAUGUAUUUUGAUCACAAAUUGGAGUUCACAAGGCAACUUAUGCAGCAAAAGAGUAGAAAACUGAAGAAAAUACAAAGAAGAGAAUCGUGCCACGAUUUGGUAAAAACGUGACACGAUUUUAGAAAACCAAAAUCAAGCUUCGACAUUGAAGAAAUCGUGUCACGAUGGCAUAAUCGUGGCACGAUUUGAGGAAACCCUAAUUCAGUGAUUUGGGAUUCAAGGAGAAUCGUGCCACGAUUUUAGGCGAAAUUCUGUGCCUAUUUAAGCUGAAGACUAUUCUGAAAACAAGGGUUACGAUUUGGAGAGAGCNNNNNNNNNNNNNNNNNNNNNNNNNNNNNNNNNNNNNNNNNNNNNNNNNNNNNNNNNNNNNNNNNNNNNNNNNNNNNNNNNNNNNNNNNNNNNNNNNNNNNNNNNNNNNNNNNNNNNNNNNNNNNNNNNNNNNNNNNNNNNNNNNNNNNNNNNNNNNNNNNNNNNNNNNNNNNNNNNNNNNNNNNNNNNNNNNNNNNNNNNNNNNNNNNNNNNNNNNNNNNNNNNNNNNNNNNNNNNNNNNNNNNNNNNNNNNNNNNNNNNNNNNNNNNNNNNNNNNNNNNNNNNNNNNNNNNNNNNNNNNNNNNNNNNNNNNNNNNNNNNNNNNNNNNNNNNNNNNNNNNNNNNNNNNNNNNNNNNNNNNNNNNNNNNNNNNNNNNNNNNNNNNNNNNNNNNNNNNNNNNNNNNNNNNNNNNNNNNNNNNNNNNNNNNNNNNNNNNNNNNNNNNNNNNNNNNNNNNNNNNNNNNNNNNNNNNNNNNNNNNNNNNNNNNNNNNNNNNNNNNNNNNNNNNNNNNNNNNNNNNNNNNNNNNNNNNNNNNNNNNNNNNNNNNNNNNNNNNNNNNNNNNNNNNNNNNNNNNNNNNNNNNNNNNNNNNNNNNNNNNNNNNNNNNNNNNNNNNNNNNNNNNNNNNNNNNNNNNNNNNNNNNNNNNNNNNNNNNNNNNNNNNNNNNNNNNNNNNNNNNNNNNNNNNNNNNNNNNNNNNNNNNNNNNNNNNNNNNNNNNNNNNNNNNNNNNNNNNNNNNNNNNNNNNNNNNNNNNNNNNNNNNNNNNNNNNNNNNNNNNNNNNNNNNNNNNNNNNNNNNNNNNNNNNNNNNNNNNNNNNNNNNNNNNNNNNNNNNNNNNNNNNNNNNNNNNNNNNNNNNNNNNNNNNNNNNNNNNNNNNNNNNNNNNNNNNNNNNNNNNNNNNNNNNNNNNNNNNNNNNNNNNNNNNNNNNNNNNNNNNNNNNNNNNNNNNNNNNNNNNNNNNNNNNNNNNNNNNNNNNNNNNNNNNNNNNNNNNNNNNNNNNNNNNNNNNNNNNNNNNNNNNNNNNNNNNNNNNNNNNNNNNNNNNNNNNNNNNNNNNNNNNNNNNNNNNNNNNNNNNNNNNNNNNNNNNNNNNNNNNNNNNNNNNNNNNNNNNNNNNNNNNNNNNNNNNNNNNNNNNNNNNNNNNNNNNNNNNNNNNNNNNNNNNNNNNNNNNNNNNNNNNNNNNNNNNNNNNNNNNNNNNNNNNNNNNNNNNNNNNNNNNNNNNNNNNNNNNNNNNNNNNNNNNNNNNNNNNNNNNNNNNNNNNNNNNNNNNNNNNNNNNNNNNNNNNNNNNNNNNNNNNNNNNNNNNNNNNNNNNNNNNNNNNNNNNNNNNNNNNNNNNNNNNNNNNNNNNNNNNNNNNNNNNNNNNNNNNNNNNNNNNNNNNNNNNNNNNNNNNNNNNNNNNNNNNNNNNNNNNNNNNNNNNNNNNNNNNNNNNNNNNNNNNNNNNNNNNNNNNNNNNNNNNNNNNNNNNNNNNNNNNNNNNNNNNNNNNNNNNNNNNNNNNNNNNNNNNNNNNNNNNNNNNNNNNNNNNNNNNNNNNNNNNNNNNNNNNNNNNNNNNNNNNNNNNNNNNNNNNNNNNNNNNNNNNNNNNNNNNNNNNNNNNNNNNNNNNNNNNNNNNNNNNNNNNNNNNNNNNNNNNNNNNNNNNNNNNNNNNNNNNNNNNNNNNNNNNNNNNNNNNNNNNNNNNNNNNNNNNNNNNNNNNNNNNNNNNNNNNNNNNNNNNNNNNNNNNNNNNNNNNNNNNNNNNNNNNNNNNNNNNNNNNNNNNNNNNNNNNNNNNNNNNNNNNNNNNNNNNNNNNNNNNNNNNNNNNNNNNNNNNNNNNNNNNNNNNNNNNNNNNNNNNNNNNNNNNNNNNNNNNNNNNNNNNNNNNNNNNNNNNNNNNNNNNNNNNNNNNNNNNNNNNNNNNNNNNNNNNNNNNNNNNNNNNNNNNNNNNNNNNNNNNNNNNNNNNNNNNNNNNNNNNNNNNNNNNNNNNNNNNNNNNNNNNNNNNNNNNNNNNNNNNNNNNNNNNNNNNNNNNNNNNNNNNNNNNNNNNNNNNNNNUUGUUUUUCUGAGUUAGGCAUUGUAGAAUGUUGCUAAAUAUUAAGUUUGGGGUUGCUAUUGGAAUUUGCAACCAAUUAAGUUUGGGGUGGGGAUACUAGAGAACAAGAAAAAAAAAAAAAAAAAAACAUUCUCAUGAAAACAAUAUGCCAAAAUGGUGUAUUAGAAAAAAAAAAAAUGGAAUGGAAAAGGGACAAAACAUUGAAAAAUCAAGUAACUUCAAGCUCGAUUGUUUCAAUUAUUUUAAAUAAUCUCUAGUAUCCUUGCAAGAAUUGUUGUUCUAAAAGGUGAAUUUUGUUUUAAAAUAUCUAUCAGAAGCGCAAGGUCUAAAAGCAGACGGGAGUAGACAGAUGAGGCUGGAUAUGAAAUUGAGAACUCUCACUUUGAAAAAUUUACCAUCGCUGAAACAUAUAUGGAAUGGGAAUCCUAAUGAAAGCUAUUGAGCUAGGAGAACUCUCACUUUGAAAAACUUACCAUCGCUGAAACAUAUAUGGAAUGGGAAUCCUAAUGAAAGCUAUUGAGCUAGUAAAUAAAUGCACAUAUUAUGCCUAAAAUUGUGCAUACGUUAGCUGUUAUUUUGCUUUUUACGUUACUACUAAUUAAUGGCAAUUGUUACAUUGUAACAAAUAUAUAUAUAUGCUUUUUCAUUAUACUGUGUUGACAUUCAGAAAUAAUUCAAUUAUUGGAAACCUAAUUGGUUAUCCCUUUUUCAUCUUUUACUUAUUCUCAUAUGGUAUCAUAGAGCCGUGAGAUCCAUGGCACCUCGCAACAUCCAUCAAGUCCUUAUUAUGUCCAUCUAAGCGAUGGUCCUACCUCAGUUUCAAUUACUCCCCUACUUACUGGUUCCAAUUACCAUAGUUGGGCUCGGUCUAUGCAUAGGGCUUUGGGUGGAAAAAUGAAAUAUGAUUUCGUUGAUGGUUCUAUUCCGGUUCCUACAGAUCCAUUCGAUCCAACAUUUCGUGCUUGGACGCGUUGCAAUAUGCUCGUUCACUCAUGGAUCAUGAAUUCUGUCGCGGAAUCAAUUGGCCAAUCCAUUGUAUUUAUGGAAAAUGCGGUCGAUGUUUGGAAUGAUUUGAAAGAACGUUUCUCUCAAGGUGAUUUAGUUUGCGUAUCAGAACUGCAACAAGAAAUUUAUGCUCUCAAGCAGGAGCAUCGAACGGUAACUAAAUUUUUCUCUGAUCUUAAGAUUUUGUGGGAAGAACUAGAAAUGUAUAUGCCAAUACCUACAUGUACCUGUCGUGUCCGUUGCUCUUGUGAAGCUAUGCGUACUGUUAGAUAUAAUCAUAAUUUACUCUAUGUGAUUCGUUUUUUGACUGGUCUUAAUGAAGAAUUCAGCGCUGUUAAGUCACAAAUUCUGCUAUUAGAUCCUUUACCUAGCUUGAAUAAAAUUUUCUCAGUGGUUAUAUAUUCAGCAUGAACGUCAAAUUGUUCCACAUGUUUCAGUUAAUGAUGACUCUAAAGUCCUUGUUAAUGCUGCUGAAAAUAGGAGAUCAAAUUUUAGAAAUAAUAAGACUGGUUCAAAACCUGGAGAGAGAGUUUGUACUUUCUGUAACAAAUCAAAUCAUACUAUUGAUACCUGUUAUCGCAAGCAUGGAGUACCACCUCAUUUACAGAAGAAAGGUUCAAACUAUGCAGCUCAUAAUGUUAAUGCAGAAACUUCUGCACCUCCAGCCCUUACACAUGAGCAGUAUAAUACUCUUGUGUCUCUACUUCAGGCUUCUAGCAUUAGUAAACAAUCUACUGCACAUGCUUCUAAUCAGGUGAACUCAUUCCAAUCAACUGAUCAUCCAUCAGUCGAUGACAAAGGUAAUAUUUCUGUUAUUUCUAUUUUUUCUUCUUGUGUUAAUAACACAACUCUUGGUUCUUGGAUCAUUGAUUCAGGAGCUAAUGAUCAUAUUUGUGUUUCAUCCCAUUGGUUUCAUUCUUUUCAUGAUAUUAGUCCUAUUUUUAUUAGAUUACCUAAUGGUAAUUUUGCUGUAGCAAAACAAAUUGGCACAAUUUAUUUUUCUCAAAGUUUUUUCUUAACAAAUGUUCUUUAUGUUCCUAAUUUUUCUUUGAAUCUAGUUUCAGUUGCCAAACUCUAUUCUGAUUUACCUUGUCUUGUUAGUUUCACUAAUUCACAAUGUCUUGUUCAGGAUCCUCAGUCAUUGAAGACGAUUGGUUCUGCUGAACUCAUUGAAGGAUUGUAUCACGUGGUUCUACCAGAUAAGAUUCGGAAUGUAUAUGCUGCCCCUUGCAACUCUGCUGUCAUCAUACCAGAAAAUGCAUUAUGGCAUUUUAGACUAGGCCACCUCUCUAAUUCUAGAAUGACUUUGCUACAUUCUGAUUUUCCUUUUAUUGUUAUAGAUCAAAAAGGAGUUUGUGAUGUAUGCCAUUUGGCAAAACAUAAAAAAUUACCAUAUCAAAGGAGUUUUAAUAAAGCCAUGAAACCUUUUGAUCUAAUUCACUUUGAUAUAUGGGGUCCUCUUGCUAUUAAAUCUGUUCAUGGUUUUUCUUAUUUUCUUACUGUUGUUGAUGACUUCAGUAGAUAUACUUGGGUUACUCUUAUGAGAUCUAAGGCUGAAGUUAGUCAACAUGUCAUGAAUUUUGUCCAGCUAAUUGAAACACAACAUAACACCCUUGUUAAAACCAUAAGAACUGAUAAUGGCCCAUAAUUUUUUAUUUCUUCUUCUAUUCUUCCAAAGGAAUUAUUCAUCAAAAGAGUUGUGUAGAAUCUCCACAACAAAAUGGAAGAGUAGAAAGAAAACAUCAACAUAUACUAAAUGUAGCCAGGGCUUUGUUGUUUCAUUCAAAUUUACCAAAACAAUUUAGGUGUUAUGCUGUGUCACAUGCUGUUUUUAUCAUAAACCGUGUCUCUAGUCCUCUUCUUGAUAAUAAAUCACCAUUUUUUUUUUAUGCAUGAUAAACUACCUGAUUUGAAAAUUUUAAAAGUGUUUGGCUCUUUAGCUUAUGCAUCUACUUUACAUUCACAUAGAACUAAAUUGGAUCCCAGAGGUAGAAAAUGUGUGUUCCUAGGUUUUAAAAGUGGAAUGAAAGGAUCUAUACUUUUUGAUCUAAACAAUAAGGAAAUAUUUGUUUCUAGAAAUACCACACACCUUGAACAUAUUUUGCCAUAUAAUCCAAUUUCAAAACCUUCCAAUUGGAAAUAUCAUUCUCAUGGUAGAACACUCGGUGAUGAUAUUCCAAUUAUUCAUCCCCCUAAUGACACUAUAUCAAAUAACACAAAACCACCGGAUUCUGUUCCAUUAUCAUCUACACUAGAACAUAACCUUACAAAUUCAACCAUACCGGAACCUGAAUCUUUCACCCCUGUACCAAGAAUACCAAAUCAAAAUCCACAACCAUCACCUCAUCAACCUAUUAGGCAAAGGCAUCCACCAUCUUAUCUUGCAGAUUAUGUGUGCAAUGAUUCAGAUGGUUCAACAAAAUCAAAGUCUUCAGGUACUCCUUACCCUAUCACCUCUUAUCAUUCUUUUUCACAAUUAUCACCUUCACAUCAAGAUUUUUCUUCUUCUAUCACACACUGCACAGAGCCAAAAUCCUUUAAAGAAGCAAGUCAGUAUGAUUGUUGGCAAAUAGCUAUGAAAUCUGAAUUAGAUGCAUUGGAUAAAAAUGGCACUUGGAUUCUAGUAGAUUUGCCACCUCAUGUGAAGCCUAUUGGUAGUAAGUGGGUAUACAAAGUUAAACAUAGGGCAGAUGGCUCUAUUGAAAGGUAUAAAGCACGAUUGGUUGCGAAAGGGUAUAAUCAGAUUAAAGGUCUUGAUUUUUUUGAUACCUUUUCACCUGUUGCAAAACUCACUACAGUUAGAACAUUACUUGCUCUUGCUUCAAUUCAUUCUUGGCAUUUACAUCAAUUAGAUGUAAAUAAUGCGUUUUUGCAUGGAGAAUUACAAGAAGAAGUUUAUAUGACUAUUCCAGAAGGUGUUUUAUGUACCAAACCUAAUCAAGUUUGUAAACUUCUUAAAAGUCUCUACGGUCUUAAACAAGCAAGCAGGAAAUGGUAUGAAAAAUUGACAUCUUUGUUAGUGAAGGAAGGAUAUCAACAAUCUACAUCUGAUUACUCACUUUUCACAUUGAAAAAUGGUCAUGAAUUUACUGCCUUGUUGAUUUAUGUUGAUGAUGUGAUCUUAGCAGGAACUUCUCUCGAUGAAUUUAAAAGGAUCAAACAUAUUCUUGAUUGUAAUUUCAAGAUAAAGGAUCUAGGAAUUCUUAAAUAUUUCCUAGGCCUCGAAGUGGCUCAUUCCAAAAUUGGGAUCACUAUUUCACAAAGGAAAUAUUGUUUGGAUUUAUUGAAUGAUUCAGGUUUAUUGGGAUCCAAACCAGUCGGUAGUCCUCUUGAUCCUUCCAUUAAAUUACAUCAAGAUGAUGGUAAGCCUUAUGAUGAUACUGCCGCAUAUAGGAGAUUAAUUGGUAGGUUGUUAUAUUUGAAUACUACUCGACCAGAUAUCACAUUUGCAACUCAACAACUAAGUCAAUUUCUUCAUGCUCCAACCAUGACACAUUAUAAUGCUGCUUGUAGAGUUGUGAGAUAUUUGAAGCAUAAUCCUCGAAGAGGCCUUUUAUUUCCUAGAAAUUCUGAGGUGCAGAUUUUGGGGUAUUCAGAUUCUGACUGGGCUGGUUGUAUUGAUUCUAGAAAAUAAAUUUCAGGAUAUUGUUUUUUUAUUGGUUCUUCCUUGAUAUCUUGGCGUGCUAAGAAACAACAAACUGUAUCGAGGUCUUCUUCUGAAGCUGAGUACAGAGCUCUUUCUACAGCAACAUGUGAAUUAUAAUGGUUGCUUCACUUGUUCAAAGAUUUGCAUGUUAUCUCCACACGACAGCCUGUGCUAUAUUGUGAUAGCCAAAGCGCUCUUCAUAUUGCUUCCAAUCCUGUGUUUCGUGAGAGAACAAAGCACCUUGAAAUAGAUUGUCAUCUAGUAAGGGAAAAGGUUCAAGAUGGUACUCUUAGACUUUUACGAAUUUCAUCACAAGAGCAGUUAGCAGAUUUUCUCACAAAGGCUUUGGCCCCUCCAAAAUUCAACUCAUUUAUAUCCAAGCUUAGCAUGAUAGACAUCUAUAAUGCUUCAGCUUGAGGGAGGGGAUAUUGAGCUAGUAAAUAAAUGCACAUUGUUGGAAAUCUCGCCCCGAACGUGAGGGGGUGGGUUAGUAAUUCCAUCUUAAUUGUGAUCUGACCCGAGUUGCCUUAUGUUGGCUUGCCUUUGAGGGGGUGGAUUUAGUCCCACAUCGGUUAUAUUGGAAGUUUGAUCAGAGUUUAUAAAGAGGAGGCACUCCUCACCUUACAAGCCGGUUUUGUAAGGAUAAGUUAGGCCCCAAACUCGGCUUCUGCUCUAAGCUCUAUGGAAACUGGAAUAGGUAAGCCUUACAUGUUUUUGCCUUCUGCAAAGGAUGUGUGGGAAGCUGUUAAGGAAACAUACUCUGAUAUCCAAAAUUCUUCCCAAAUUUUUGGCUUAAAAUCAAAGCUAUGGCAUGCUAAACAAGGUGACAGGAGUGUAACUACUUAUUACAAUGAGUUGCUGACCCUGUGGCAAGAGUUGGAUCUCUGUUAUGAUGACAAUUGGAGGUGUAUAGAAGAUAGUGUUCUGUUUCUCAAGAGGCAAGAAAAUGACCGUGUCUUCAUGUUUCUUGCUGGGCUGAAUAAAGAUCUUGAUGAGGUAAGAGGUUGAGUUUUGGGAAAAAUACCAUUGCCAACUCUUCGUGAGACUUUUGCAGAAAUAAGAAGGGAGGAGGCACGGCAAGGAAUUAUGAUGGGCAAGACACCACGAAGCUUUGAUUCUGAAGGCUCGGCUCUGGCUACUAGGAACCUCGAUGAGUAAAAAAGGUCGGACAAAGUAAUUCCUUAUUGUGAUCAUUGCAAGCGUGAAUGGCAUACGCUUGAAACUUGUUGGAAGCUCAAGGGAAAACCUCCUAACUGGAAGAAGAAAGGUAGUCGUGCAUUUCAGGCUAGUAAUCUUGAUCAAGGGCAGCAAUCCUCUUCGACUCAGCUUCCACUCACUACGGAACAACUAGACAAACUUUUCAAACUCCUCGAGUCUCCAACCCCUUCUUGCUCUAUAGCAACAAAAGGUAAUUCUGCCUUUCUUAGUGUCAGUCCCAAUCAUACUUGGAUAGUAGAUUCAGGUGCCUCUCAUCACAUGACAGGUGAAUCCACUUUGUUGUCCUCAUAUAGUCCAUGUGUAGGUAAUCAAAAAAUAAAAAUCGCAGAUGGCUCUUUUUCAGCCAUUGCAGGUAAAGGGUCAGUUGUGUUGUCUCCACUGUUAACCCUUAAAGAUGUCUUUCAUGUUCCAAACUUGUCAUGUAAUUUACUAUCUGUCAGUAAAUUAGCUGAAGAUAUUAAUUGUCAAACUAUUUUUUUCCGAUCUCAUUGUGUCUUUCAGGAUUUGAACUCGGGGAAGAUGAUUGGCAGUGCUAAGAAGAGUGGAGGACUCUACUACCUUGACAUUGGAUCUGCAUCACAACUACCUUCAAAAAUAAUAAGUUCCUGCUUUGAGUCUUUUUUUGUUUUGAAUAAUAAUGAUGACAACGUUAUAUUAUGGCAUUUACGAUUAGGUCAUCCUAGUUUUCGUUACUUAAAACACUUAUUUCCUAAGUUAUUUCAUAAUAAGAAUUUUUCUUUGCUUAAAUGUGAAGCAUGUGAGUUUGCAAAGCAUCAUCGUUCCCAAUUUCCUAUACAGCCUUAUAAACCAUCAAAACCUUUUUCUCUUAUUCAUAGUGAUGUUUGGGGCCCUAACCGUACAAGUACACUUUCUCUCAAAAAAUGGUUUAUCACAUUUAUCGAUGACCAUUCAAGAGUAUGUUGGGUGUACUUGUUAAAGGGGAAAUCAGAUGUUUGUCUGGCUGUUAAGGAUUUUAUUACAAUGGUGCAAAACCAAUUUCGAACAAAUAUUCAAGUCUUUAGAAGUGAUAAUGGCAAAGAAUAUUUUAACACUGUUCUGGAUGAUUUUUUUCUUAAAAAUGGGAUUGUACAUCAAAGUUCAUGUCCUAAUACUCCUCAACAAAAUGGAGUUGCCGAAAGAAAAAAUAGACACUUAUUGGAGGUUGCUAGAGCUUUACUUUUCUCAGGUAAAGUUCCAAACUAUUUGUGGGGUGAAGCUGUUUUGACAGCUGCAUAUUUAAUUAACAGAAUGCCUUCCAAAGUUCUCAAUUUUCAAACUCCAAUUAAUACUUUUAAAGAAUGUUUUCCUAGUACUCGUAUUUCAACUUAUUUGACAUUAAAAAUCUUUUGUUGCACAGCCUUUGUUCAUGAACAUAAAAAUAUUGGAAAACUUGAACCAUGUGCUAUAAAAUGUGUUUUUGUUGGAUACUCCCCAACCCAGAAGGGAUAUAAAUGUUUUGAUCCAAAAAACAAGAAAAUGUUUGUCACUAUGGACGUUACAUUCUUUGAAAACAAACCUUUUUUUGAUGACACUCAUCUUCAAGGGGGGAUAUAAAGGAAGACUCGUUUCAAACUGAGGACAUGAAUUUUUCAAAUAAUUUGUCUUUGCCUGUACCACAAAGUUCUAAGACUUAUACUUUUGCACCAACAGAAAAUGGCCAUGAUUCUUUAUCUGAUCCUACUCCUGUUAUGGGUACGGAAGUUGGUGAAUCUCAGCCUACAUUUUCUCAUGUGGAAAACAAUGAGAAUCUUGAAAAUGAUGAUAGUGAUGAUCUAAUCGAAAUGCCACAAGAUAAUGAGUCACUUAAAGAUAGAUUUGAACUAGGAAACAAGAUUUUGAAAGGGAAGGUUUUUGUGAAGAAGCACCACAAAGAAAGGGAUGAGUCCACAUCUCAACACUGCCAUGAAUCUGAACCAGGUAAUGAUCAACCUCCUAAGAAAAGGAAAGGUAAGUCUAUCUCUGAGAGUCGUAUUUUGUAUCCGGAUAUAGAUGAUCCUGUUGCCAUUAGAAAACCUGUUAGAUCUUGCACUAAACACCCUAUGUCCAAUUUUAUAUCAUACUCAAAUUUGUCUUCAUCUUUGUCAGCCUUCAACUCAAAAUUGUCCAGUGUAGAAAUUCCAAAAAGUGUACAGGUUGCUCUAGAAAUUCCAAAGUGGAGGAAAGCUGUACUUGUGGAGAUGAAAGCUCUUGAAAAGAACAAAACUUGGAAUGUCACGACACUACCAGAUGGCAAGAAGACGGUCGGAUGCAAAUGGGUGUUUAAUGUGAAGUAUAAUUCAGAUGGGUCGAUUGAAAGGUACAAGGCUUGCCUAGUGGCUAAGGGCUUUACUCAAACCUAUGGUAUAGACUACUCUGAGACAUUUGCUCCUGUUGCAAAAUUGAACACCGCCAGAAUUCUCUUAUCUCUAGCUGCUAACCUGGAUUGGCCUCUACACCAGUUGGAUGUUAAGAAUGCCUUUCUCAAUGGCGAUCUAGAAGAAGAAGUAUAUAUGGACAUACCUCCUGGUUUUAAAAACAAAUUUGGAUCAAAUGUAUGCAAACUAAAUAAGUCUUUGUAUGGAUUAAAGCAGUAUCCUAGAGCUUGGUUUGAAAAAUUCACUCAGUCCAUGAAGAAACAAGGGUACAUUCAAGGACAAGCUGAUCACACCUUGUUCACAAAGUUCUCCAAUGAUGGAAAAUUCGAUGUCCUGAUUGUUUACGUUGAUGAUAUUGUCCUUACUGGAGAUGAUACGGUUGAAAUGGAAAGAGUAAAAGAGAAAUUAGCACUAGACUUUGAAAUCAAGGACUUGGGAUCCAUGAGAUAUUUUCUUGGUAUGGAGGUUGCUCGAUCAAAGAAUGGUAUUGUGGUUUCACAGCAGAAAUACAUUCUAGACUUAUUGAAAGAAACAGGAAUGAGUGGAUGUCGUCCGGCUGAUACCCCUAUGGAUCCUAAUGCUAAACUUUGGGGAGAAGGUAGUGUUCCUGUUGAUACUGGAAGGUACCAGAGAUUGGUUGGGAAAUUGAUUUAUUUGUCACACACCAGACCUGAUAUUGCUUUUUCAGUUAGUGUAGUAAGUCAGUUCAUGCAUUCUCCUUUCGAGGAACAUCUUGAGGCAGCAUAUAGGAUAUUGAGAUAUUUGAAGGGAAAUCCCGGAAAAGGCUUACUUUUUAAGAAGACUAGUGAAAGAAAUGUGUCUAUCUUCACCGAUGCUGAUUGGGCAGGUUCAGUCACAGACAGAAGAUCAACCUCUGGAUAUUGUACCUAUGUUUGGGGUAAUCUUGCAACAUGGUAUCAGAGCCUAUCCAAGAUCUACCGUUGUCGGGAUUCCGCAUUGCCACGCUUCAUGCCCAUUGGGUCUGAGCGUGAGGGGGGAUGUUGGAAAUCCCGCCCCGAAUGUGAGGGGGUGGGUUAGUAAUUCCAUCUUAAUUGCGAUCUGCCCCAAGUCGCCUUAUGUUGGCUUACCUUUGAGGGGGUGGAUUUAGUCCCACAGCGGUUAGAUUGGAAGUUUGAUCAGAGUUUAUAAAGAGGAGGCACUCCUUACCUUACAAGCCGGUUUUGUAAGGAUGAGUUAGGCCCCAAAAUUUCAACACACAUAUUAUGCCUAGUAUUGUGCAUGCGUUAGCUGUUAUUUUGCUUUUUACGUUACCACUAAUUAAUGGCAAUUGUUACAUUGUAACAAAUAUAUAUAUGCCUUUUUCAUUAUACUGUGUUUUACAUUCAAAAAUAAUUCAAUUAUUGGAAUUAUCCCUUUUUCAUCUUUUACUUAUUCUCAUAAAAGCUUCAACUUUCAAAACCUCUGCCUCUUGAAAGUUACUGAAUGCGAAAGCCUUAACCAUGUUUUUCCUCUCUCUCUGUGGCUAAAGAGCUUCAACAUCUCCAAGGGAUUCAUAUAGAAAAAUGUGGCGUAGAGAUUAUUGUGGCUCAUGAUGAAAUAGCUGACACAAUUCCAAUUUUUAUUUUCCCAAAAUUAACGUCUCUAUGUUUUCGAGAAUUGUCACAACUUCGAAGCUUCUACCGUGUAUCACAUACCUUGGAUUGUCCUUUAUUAAGUGAUGUGGAUGUGUUUCAUUGUGACAAGCUCCAACUAUUCAAGCCUGAGUCUCUAAAUAACCAAGCCACUGUCCUAGUUGACACACUACCCCUCCUCUCAAUCGAAAAGGUACAAUUUACAUCUCAAUUUACAUAUCAAUAUGCUCAUUUUGUUGCUGCUACACAUAAAACGUCAUUUUUAAAGGUGUCUUGCAGCAUGUUCUUUUUUUGUUGGAAAAGUAUACAGAAUUGAGUUCUUUUAUAGGUGUGUUUCACCAUGUUUAAUUACAUGCAUAAAAGUUUAUAUAAGUAUGUGUGGAAUAUGGAAAUAAUUUUCUACAGAUAAUUUCAAAACAUGAAUAUAGUACAAAUGAUCAUGUGCUUAAAUAGACCACAAAUGGCGGCCACUAAUAUACUUAACAAUGACAAAUAAACAAAACAGCUGAAUGAGAGAACAAACAAUGGGCAUCAGGAAUACCCAAAAUAUCUCAAACUGUGAUUCUAACCCCCAAAAAGACAGAGAGGCUACCGAUGUAGUCCUUCGCUGGAAAUCUUUUGGGAGUGCAUGAAGGCGCGUCUAGUGUCUUUUGGCCACAAUCUUUCGGGAGCUAGCCAGCUUUGGGCCUGCUAUCAGCCGAUCCUAAUGGCAGGGCCGAGGAUGCUGGAUUUGCGAUAGAAAGUGGAGAAAGAAAGGCGUGAAGGUGCUGUUUGCUUGUGAACUAGUAUGAAGUUGGUCAAAGGCAGUAUUUGAUUGCUGUUUGGUUGUUAAUAGGGGUGAAAGCAUUCCAAUGAAUCCUUUUGUUCUAUUUGUCUCUAAACAACAAAAUGCAGAAAAUAGUACUGAGUUACUAAUCCGAUUUAUGAAGUUACAUACUUGGUACUAUGAGUCUACAACAUUAUAUUUUCAUUUAUUAUCUUUAUUAAUAUAGCACCUCUAAGAAGACUCUCCCAUUCUUUUAUGUCAACACAUUUAUGCAUCCAAUAUUUUUUACUACUACUACUCUUGUGCCAUUUGAGUUGCAAUAUAAUAAUAUAGCCGCUACAAAUUAGGUGGCAUUUCACGUGGGAAAAGUUAAUCCUUUCCCAUCAUGGAAAAGUUGGAUUCAAUGAUUAGAUUAAGUGAAGAACAUAUUCUUAACAUACUCUUUCAACAUUAGAUUUUUCUUCACAUUAUCUUCCAACAAUUUAAAAAUUCUGAAAAUUAAUUUUCAGAAAUUAAAAAAAUCGAGAAAAUAUAAAAAAAUUUAGAUAAUUUUUUUUUUAAAUUCUGUAAUUCAUUUAUUGAAUGUUAGAAUUUUUUUUUAUUUCAAUAAAAAUAAAAUUUUGGAAACUAAGAAUAGUUUUUAUUUUUCUAAGUGAAGAUUAUAUUUUUUUUUAAUUUCAUAAUAAAAUAAGAUAUUCUGAAAAAUAAAAUAAAAAUCCUAAAAAAUAUAUUUUGAAAUUAAAGUUUUUUAUUUUUCUAAGAAAAUAAAAUUCUUGAAAAUAAGGUUUUUGAAAAUAUUUUGAAAUAAAAUUCUGAUUAUUUUUUUUCAUUUUUUCAAAAAAAUAAAAUUCUAACAUUCAAUAAAUGAAUUAUAGAAUUUAAAAAAAAAAUUAUCUGAAUUUUUUAUAUUUUUUUGAUUUUUUUAAUUUCUGAAAAUUAAUUUUCAGAAUUUUAAAUUGUUGGAAAACACAUUAACAUUAACAUAGAUAAUGCAAAACACAUUAACAUAGAUAAUAAGAAUGACUAUUAAUGUUAUUUUUUUUCGUAGAAAUUCUACUCAAGGUUUUAUAAUAAAAUAGAUAAUGAGAAUGAGUAUUAAUAUUUUUUCUUCUUUCCGAAACCCAUAAAGAUAUGAAAUUCCACCACGCCAGAAACAUCCACCAACAAAUCACCAACCUUACUCAAAACCAAACCAACAUUGCAAACGGUAGCAAAUUUAUCACUGAAUGCAACGUUAAGAUUUCAGAAAAUGGACGAAACGGUAACGUUAAUGCAGCAGAAACAAUAUUCAACAAAAUGUCCCAAAAGAACAUUGUCACUUGGACAGCCAUGCUCGUUGUCUAUGCUAAAAAUGGUCAAAUCAUAAAUGCCCGUAAGCUGUUCGAUAAAAUGCCUGAACGAACAACGGCUACUUAUAAUGCCAUGAUCUCCGGUUAUAUUCGUAAUGGUUGCAAUGUUACUAAAGCUUACGAGCUUUUUACAUCGUUUAAUGAGAGAAAUGCGGUGUCUUAUGCUGCUAUGAUCAUGGGUUAAGUUAAGGCUAGGAAGUUCCAUUUGGCGGAAGAGCUUUACCGUGAAGUUCCGUGUGAGUUUCGUGACCCGGUUUGUUCCAAUGCUUUGAUGAAUGGGUAUUUGAAAAUAGGCGAAACAAAUGAAGCGUUGAGGGUUUUUGAGAAUGUGGGUGAGAGUAAGAGGGAUGUUGUUUCGUGGAGUGCUGUGGUUGUUGGUUUGUGUAGAGAUGGGAGGAUUGGUUAUGCUAGGAAGUUGUUUGACAGAAUGCCUGAGAGAAAUGUGGUUUCUUGGAGUGCGAUGAUUGAUGGGUAUAUGGAGAAAGGCUUGUUUGAAAAUGGGUUUGGUUUUUUUUUGGAAAUGAGGAGGGAAGGUGUUGUUGAGGUUAAUUCAACUACCAUGACUAUAAUGAUUAAAGGGUGUGGAAAUUGUGGUGGUGUGAAAGACGGAAUGCAGAUUCAUGGGUUGGUUUCAAGGUUGGGAUUUGAGUUUGGUAGUGUUUUGAGUAAUACUAUUAUUACUAUGUAUUCUUUGUUUGGUUGCACUGACAUGGCAAAAAAAGUGUUUUGAGCUAUGGGUAAUAAAGAUUUAGUUACUUGGAAUUCUUUGAUUUCUGGAUAUAUUUAUAACAAUGAAGUGGAUGCGGCUUAUGAAGUUUUUGAGAGGAUGCCGGAGAAGGAUUUGAUUUCUUGGACGGCCAUGAUCAGGAGGUUUGUAACGGAUGGAAGAAUGGGAAAGCCCGUUGAAUUGUUUGAUACGUUGAAAGAAAAAGAUGAUUUUGUUUGGACAGUUCUUAUAUCUGGUUUUGUGAGUAAUGAGGAGUACGAGGAAGCUUUGUGUUGGUAUGUUCGGAUGAACCGGGAAGGAUGUAAGCCUAAUCCUUUAACUAUUAGCAGUGUUCUUGCCGCUUCGGCUUCUUUGGUGGCACUGAAUGAAGGGCUUCAGAUCCAUUCCCAUGUUCUGAAGAUGAACCUGGAAUAUGAUCUUUCAAUACAAAAUUCCCUUAUAUCAUUCUAUGCCAAAUGUGGAAACGUAACCGAUGCUUACAAGAUCUUUGUAGACGUCGUUGAACUGAAUGUUGUCUCUAAUAACUCAGUCAUCAAUGGUUUCACACAAAAUGGCUUUGGCGAAGAAGCUCUCAAUAUGUAUAAAAGAAUGCAGAAUGAAAGCCUUGAACCCAACCGUGUUACUUUCCUUGCUGUUCUUUCAGCCUGUACUCAUGCAGGACUGAUUGAAGAGGGACGGAAUUUAUUUGACACCAUGAAAUCUCGUUACCGAAAUGAGCCAGACGCUGACCAUUAUGCUUGCAUGGUUGAUCUACUUGGCCGUGCCGGCUUGCUUGAUGAAGCUAAUGAUUUGAUUCGUUCAAUUACGGUAAAGCCUCAUUCUGGGGUUUGGGGGGCUCUUCUUGCUGCAAGCAGUGCUCACCUACGACUUGACCUUGCCAAGCUUGCAGCUCAACAUAUUACCAAGCUGGAGCCUGCAAAUGCGACUCCUUAUGUGGUAUUAUCCAACUUGUAUUCUGCUGCUGGACAAAAGAUUGAAGGCGACUUAGUAAGAAACACCAAGAAUUUAAAAGGAAUAAAAAAAAGUCCAGGUUGUAGUUGGAUUACUAUUAAAGAUAAACUUCACCUGUUUCUUGCAGGGGAUCAAUCACACAUGAAUAUUGAAGAGAUAAAAGCCAUAAUACUGACUAUAGAUAAAGGGAUGCAGUGGUUGUAUUAUUGUGAGCUCUGACUUCAACAUUAACUACUGUAAUUAUUAGUACUAACCAUGGAAGUUAUAUUAGUGUCUAGGCGUCUAGCAGAUUUCAGGCAUUAAAAAUAUGUACGUAUCUUCUACCUGAUAUGUUAACAUACUGAUAUGGGACAUGCUAGAGAAACAGACUAAUAUGAGAUGUAUCAGAAGCUCUUCAAUUCUAAUAUAACUUACUUGAACUUUCUAGUUAUCUGUUAUAAUAUUAAUAAUUUAAUAGUGUGUGUUUGUGUGCGUGAGAGAGAGAGAGAGCCUCAAUUACAACCUGAUGCAGUUCCUCUGAUGUUGUCAGUUUACUGCAUAAUUAUUGUUUAUUUUGUAAAUAUUAACAUUAUUGCUGUUGUUAUUAUUAGUAAUGUUUUCUAUGUUUUCUAUUAGUGAGUUAUGCCCUACUUUGUGGUAGCAAAGGUUUGUCUCUUAUGAUAACGUUUUUGCUGUUUUUCAAAUACGUGUCACCCUAAACUCAUAAUAAGAUGACACUAAUUUGCCAUUCCCCAGAAAAUAAGAAACCAGAAUUAACUUUUAUAAUAUUAAUUUUGUUUGCCAAAGUAUGCAUAUAUCGGAAAUUGCAUCCAAAUUUGACACAUUUAACCUUUUUUCAGACCUACAGAAACUGCUACUGUUUUACUCAAGCUUCGUUUGUGGUUGCUAGUUUUGGAAGCUAAUAUAUAAUAUGCUGUAUACUGUGAUGGUUAUAUGUAGGUUCCCUUAGUAAAGAUGGUCCACGAAGUUACUGCCAACAUACCGAAAUGGGCUUCAUUUAAUAGAAGUUGAGUAAAAGAUAAUAGAAGUUGAUGUAUAAGAUCCAAUUGCACUCAAGGUAAGUUCUUUACUUCUCUUUACUACUCUCUUAUCAAAAAUCAGAUUAGAUAACCUUAGACUUUUUUUAUUAAUAUGGAUAAUCGAAGAGAAAACCUAUAAAAACCUCAACACUCUAUAAAUGAUGUUGUUAAAGUCACGUGUCAUUAAAAUAGGAAUCACAGAGCUAAAAACAUAGAAGAAAUUAUGUAUGUGUCUCAUUUAGUAUCGUUUCACUUAAGAAAAAAGUUGCGGCUUACAAGAGCGAUUACCUAGAAAUAUCUUGCAAGUACAAAAGAAACAUUUGUUUAUGAAAUAAAAGAAAGACUUUUCGUGCUAAAGUUCAACAGUUUUGAUCUGAUGUACUGAUUUGAAGUUUGAAAUAGAAAAGAGUGAAGGUUGUCCUUGAGGGUAUUGGUGAAGACUGUGCUGGAUGAUGACAACUGUUGAAAUUUGGGGUCUAUUGGUGAGGAGUGCCUCUUCUUUAUAAACUCUUCUCAAGAGUGCUAUCUAUCCGAUGUGGGACUAAAUCCACCCCCUCAAAGCCAACAUAGUGAAGGUGUUGGAGACUGCAAUUAAAGCUAACCAAAGGUCGCAAUUAAGGCGACUAGGGGCGGACCACAAUUAAGGCGGAAUUUCCAACAACAACCAUUGGGGACCUCCUCCUGCUCCCGUCUUUAUCAUCUUUUUUAGUCAUGCUUACCUGCUACAGUGCACCAAACAAUCUACCCUUUGCACUGCUUAGUGCGUGAUCCCUUGGCUAAAACGUACAUACAUUGGCUUCAUUACACGUUGAUCAUAUAUUAAUGUAUUGAGGUUUUCCUAUCGGAAAUCUACUGCUGCUAACUCAUAGCGGCUUCAUUACACGUUGUCUCAUUACAAGAUUUUAUUAAAUUUUGUUCAUUUAAUUCAUAAAAAAUAUAAAAAUUAAAUUCAAUGCACGAAUUCCAACAAAUCAUUUCUAUAUUUGAUGCAUUAACUUGUGCCCUUUAGCAUUCCCCAAAAACAAAUUAUUAUUACGGUUAAGAACGUUAGUUUUUAGGCAAUAUGUUAUCACAAAUUUGGUGUAGUGUCAUAAACAUUUAUCAAAUAAUCGAUUAAAAAUUCCCAAUUCAAAUUAAUUUUGCAAAGUGUAAUAGCAACUUGUAAUCUUGCAUGACCAGUUCUCUGAUGCCGACUGAUGUAACUUUUAUGCAAGGUUGAUUAUAUUAGCACUAUAUUAUAAUGGGGGUCUUAGUACUAGUGCUAGUUUAAUUUAAUGGAAUACUGGUCGCACAAGAAACUUGUAAAGAAAAUCCUUGGCAUGUGACGCGAAAAAAUUAAGAAAGCUAAGACAGCAAGAAGAAAACAAGAUUAUGAACAAUGGGAACAUCCAAGAAGUUAGACCAUUGACCAGAGGAUUAAUUAAAGAACUUGCAUACAUCACAUGUGGGUCUCCCCUAAUAAAACAAAGAGGUGGAAGGAAGAGAAGUGCCUUAUACUUAAAGAGAGUUUACUAAAAGACAUGAAUACGAGGUAUAUCUUUUUUUGAGGGUACAAAAAAGCCUGAAGUAUACUUAAUAUAUUUAGAAGUGAUUUUCUUCCUUGUUUUCUUGUCCUUUUUUUUCAUUUUUUUUUUCAUCCUUAUAUUUUAAACAAAAUUAGCAUUGAUUUAUCAUUUCAUUAUUUAUGUCUGUGCAGAGCAAGCAAUCCUUAUAUGCUCUCUUGAUUGUAUAGACCUGUCAAUUGCAUUCCAGGAGAGAACAAGAGAAAUUAUUGUCAAUUACAGCUAGUUUCUAGCACUUGACAUAUCACCUGAAGCAUUAAGGUAUUUCUUUUCCAUCAACCAAAAAAGUUUAGAUUUCUGUUUUUUAUAGUACUAUUUUAUAGAGUGUAGGGUUAAAUAAGAGUACAUACCAAUUAUAGUCUUGAGAAAAAUGUUGAACCCAAUCUGUUUGGAUGAACAACUUAUUUUACUCCUUAUAGCAUAAGUGCUUAUCAUAUAAGCUCUUAAAAAAAUAAUAACUUUUUUGACUAAAAAAUAAUUAUUUAUUAACCUGUUAAAUUUUUUUGUUUAUUGUUUAGCAAAUCUAUCACUUCUUUUUUGAUAAAAAAAAAAAAAGUUUAGGCGAGUUGGGCUUCGAGGACUCACCAGGGUCAGGGCUGACCUCAACGUUCAGCGAGCGUUAACAGAGGUACUUAGAGGUUACCCAACAAAGAGUUACUUACACUGGCAGCAAGAGUUGAACCCACGACAAUAUGUCAACUCUUUACCAACUGAGGCAACCUUCAUUGCCUCUUUAGGGUUUCUCGGUGUCAGAAUUUUAGGUCAAUUAUAAGUAGUAAUUCGGUUAGAAAUCUGCACUGGUUUGUCACUUUUGAAUUUGUUUUUUUAGUUUCUUGCUUCUUUGUGCUUAGAUCUCAAUUUGUAACAUAGUUUAAUCAACUUCCUAUCUCAAUUUGUAACAUGUAUCCAAUACAAUUCUUAUGAGAAAACCUCUGUUUACUCCCUUCAUUUAUCCACGGCAGACCAAUCAUGACAGAAUCUUCUUCAGGCUUCUUUUUUCUCUUGCUGCUUAAUCGAAUAACCAUUCACUGGUAACGUACAAACAAGAAUGCCUGCAAUCAAACUGUGAGCAAUAGUUAACCUGAAACCAAGAGAGAUAAAACCACAACUAAAUGCCAACCUGUUACACGCAACAACAACUAUGCAAGCACAAAUGUACAGGAGAAAUGCAGCUAAAUGCAAUCCUUUUUAACUUUUUUAUUUCAGUGGCAUGAUGACUCUCGUUAGCCUGUUCCUGAAGUUUAUAAUUAUAAAUAACAUCAAUGCAUAUACGAAAUGCUGGAUUAUUGAAUAAACCCAAGAGAUGGUUGAGUCCAACUCACGGCUAUCUUUCAAGUUAGUUAUUUAUUGAUUGAAUUCUUUGUUUCAUUUCAACUACCAGCUAGCAAAGGGGUGGCCAUGGAUGCUACUAUUUCUGUUGCUGCUAAAAUUGCUGAGUAUAUGGUUGUACCUAUUGGUCGUCAAUUUGGUUACAUACUCUACUACAAGCGAAACCUUGAAAGGAUGAAAACUAAUGUCCAAAAGCUGGAGGGAACAAAAGCUAGUGUGCAACACACUGUUGAUGAGGCUAGAAGCAACGGAGAAGAGAUUGAGAAUAUUGUUCAGAACUGGAUGAACAAAGUGGACAUCAUGGUUGCUGAGGCAAAUAAACUCACUGAAUCUGAAGGCCAUGCAAAAGUUCAAUGUUCUAUAGGACACUUUCCCAAUCUGUGCACAAGGCACCAGCUGAGCAGGAAGACCAAAAACUUAAUACAAGAGAUUUCUGAAGUCCUAGCAGAAGGAAAAUUUGACAGAAUUUCUUACCGUCUUGCUUCUCAAGUGACAGUCUCGCCAUUUUGUAGAGGUUAUGAGGCUCUGGAUUCAAGAACAUCAAUGUUGAAUGAGAUUCUGAUGGAAUUAAAGAACCCCAACAUCUUCAUAAGUGGGGUGUACGGGAUGGGUGGUGUGGGGAAGACAACACUAGUGAAAGAGUUAGCUUGGCAAGCAGAGAAAGAUGGGUCAUUUGGUGCUGUAGUUAUGGCAACCAUAACUAGUUCUCCAAAUGUUGAAAAUAUUCAAGGCCAAAUUGCUGAUGCCUUGGAUCUACAGUUUAAUAAAGAGACAAAAGAGGGAAGAGCAAGACAAUUACGUGAAAGGAUAAGGAAGGAGAAGAAUAUUCUUGUUAUUCUUGAUGACAUCUGGGGGAGAAUUGAUUUGACAGAAGUGGGGAUUCCUUUUGGUGAUGAUUACAAAGGAUGCAAGUUGGUGGUGACAUCCAGAGAUCUUAAUGUGUUAAACUGUGAGAUGGGCAUUCAAAAAGAAUUUAGACUUGAAGUUUUACAACAAGAGGAUAGUUGGAAAUUGUUUGAGAAAAUGGCAGGUGAUAUUGUUCAUGAAUUAAAUAUAAAGCCAAUUGCAGUAGAAGUGGCAAGGUGUUGUGCUGGGUUGCCCCUUUUGAUAGUUACAGUGGCGAAGGCUUUGAGAAAAAAAGAUUCCUCUUCUUGGAAGGAUGCCUUAAAUCAAUUAGAGAGAUUUGAUCAAGAAGGCUUGCAUAAGAAAGUUUACUCUACCUUGGAAUUGAGUUAUAAUUGUUUAGAAAGUGAUGACCUGAAGUCACUCUUUUUAUUCAUUGGUUCAUUAGGACAGGGCAAUAUCCACACUGGAAUACUAUUUCGAUGUUAUUGGAGGUCUGGGUUUUGUAAACAUGUUCAGACAUUGACGGAGGCGCGCAACAGAUAUUUCAACUUAAUAAAUGACCUCAGGCACUCUUCAUUGUUACUUGAACUUGAUAAGGAUCGAGCAGAAAUGCAUGAUGUUGUACGUGAUGUAGCUAAAUCAAUUGCAUCUAGGUUUCAUCUUACUUAUUCUGUGAAAAGAUACACUCAAGUAAAACAAUGGCCAGAGAUAGACCAGCUUCAAAAAUGCCAUCAAAUCAUUUUCCCUUGGUCUUAUAUUGAAGAGCUUCCUGAGAAGUUGGAGUGUCCAGAGUUGAAACUACUCGUUCUUCAAACUAUAGGUGAUCAUUUGAAAAUCCCUGAUGAGUUUUUUUCUGAGACAAGAGAACUAAAGGUUCUUGAUUUGUAUGGAAUGAUGUUGACUCCUACUCCACCUCCUUCCCUUCGUCUCUUAACAAGCAUUCAAUCAUUGGUUCUUUCAGGAUGUGUGUUAGAAGACAUAUCAAUAGUUGCAGAGUUGAAAAGUUUAGAGAUUUUAAGCCUUGAAAAAUCUGAUAUUACCGACCUCCCAAAAGAAAUAGGACAACUAGCUAAUCUUCGAAUGUUAAAUUUAACAAGCUGCUCUGGACUGAGAUUCAUUCCUGCAAAUCUUAUUUCAAGCUUGACAUGCUUGGAAGAAUUGUACAUGGGCAAUUGUUUUAUCCAAUGGAAUGACGUGAGAAGCAAAGAUCAAAGGAAAAGUGCAAGUCUAGAAGAGCUAUGUAAUCUUUCUCAACUAACUACUUUGGACAUAAUGAUUCAAGAUGUUUCGGCAUGGCCACGGAACUUGCAGGUCUUUGCAAAGCUUGAGAGAUACAAUAUAUUUAUUGGUGAUAUGUGGAAAUGGACUUUGGAAUGGUCUGGAGGUGCUUCUGAAUCUUCAAGAAUACUUAAGCUGGUGGAGAGUAAGAGUACCUGCAUUCUUUUGGAUCACGGGUUUAACUUCUUGUUGAAUUCAACCGAGAAUUUGUGCCUAGCCAAAUUACAGUGUGUUAGAGAUGUCCUUUACGAGUUGAACAGUCAAGGUUUUCCACAAUUAAAACAUUUGUGCAUUCAAGACAGUGCUGAACUAAAGUACAUCGUCAACUCAACAGGGUGCAUUCAUCCCAAUCCAGCCUUCCCCAACUUAGAGACUUUGACUCUUGAAAAUCUGUUUAAUCUGGAAAAAAUAUGCCAUGGCCCAAUUCCAAUUCAAUCUCUUACCAAAUUAAAAUCUAUUGAAGUCAAAGGUUGUGAGAAGUUGAAAAAUUUGUGGUAUUCCCUCGUUAGAGACCUUCCUCAACUUCUUGAAAUAAAAAUUUCUGAUUGCAAAAUGAUUACAGAAAUCGUAGCUGUGCAAAAAUCUGAAGCCGAUAAAGAAUUCAACCAGAUUAUGUUCCCUAAAUUGCGUUCUCUUGAACUUGAACGUUUGCCAUGUCUCAUUAGUUUCUGUUCUGUGCCAUGUACAGCUGCACAAUUCACACCUUUGGCACUAAUUGAUAACAAGGUAAAAACAUGAUUUAACGUUUCUUCUUCGCUAUUUUGUCUUUUUAAGCCAUAUUGAGUGCUUUACCGGGAUUUUUAAAUUUCAACAUGUUAAAUUUAAAAUUCUCAGAUGUUACAUACUUUUUUUAUAAUUUUGUUUUAUAAAUUUGAAUGUGUUUACAUAUUUCAUUUCCAAUUUUAUUUUCUGAUUAAAUUUCCAAAAACUCCUAUGUGCUAUGUUUGGAUUUCCAAAAGGGAAUGAACUGUACUAGCAUUAAUAAAUUGCAAUUGUUUAUAUUGUGUAAAAUAGAGUGGAAAGCCUAACAGGGGGUAACAGAUGGAAAGUUGGUAUGAAAUUAUUAUUAUUUUUUUUUUUUGACAGAAGUUGGUACGAAAUUAUUGCGUGCAAAUACACACACACACGCACAUUAAACAUCUACUCUUUUUUUUUUUCUUGACAAUAUCCAUCAACCAUCAACUAAAUAUAAUUAAACACUUAUUUGAACUGCGGUAAUCACACAACGUUUUUCUUGUUUUAAAGCCUUGUAAAUAGAAAACCCCAAAAAUUAAGCAUUGUCUGUCGAAGCUGAUAGAUAGUAGGCCCAAGAAAAAGCUCAAACCCACAUCCACAAAAAUGUAAAAAGUGACUGUUGAUGGUUGUCUGAGCAUGGCUCAUCUAUAUCACAUCUUUGGGGGUAGGGGAGAAGUGUUGUCCCUCCAAUACAUACUGCAAUAUUAUUUCCAUUCUAACUAUUCUUCAAACAAUGAAUUGGAAACUUUGCUUCCUUUCAAACAACAGUGCAAUAUUUUUGUUUCAUCAAAUCCCAUAUAUUUCCAUUCUAUUAUGUACCUCAUUAGAUUUUCAUAAUGUGUUAUCUCACCAUCUCAAUUAUUUUUGGUUUUUCUCUCAACAUAAAUUAAUAUUGAAAAUAAGUUCUUCACAAGAAUCUUUUUGUUAACAGGUUGGAAUGCCCCACCUUGAACUCUUGAAGCUGUCAAAUAUCAACUCUAGAAAACUUUGGGAUGACAACCUUCCAGGUCAUUUUUGCAUUCAAAACAUGAGAAGUUUGACAAUUGACAAAUGUGAUGGCAUAGCGUACGCAUUCUCAUCCUCAGUGGCUAGAGAACUUGUAAACCUGAAGUAUCUUGAGUUUAGUAAUUGCCAAAUGUUGGAGGACAUCUUUGUCUCAGAUGGAAAGUUGGGUAAUCUUCCUUCAUCUCAGAAACAAUUCUCUGAUGAUGAGGUGAGCACUGUCUCCAACUCUGUAGCGAUCUUCGAUUUCAAUUUUAGUUUUGUUGUUUGUGCAAUUUACUGUUAAAGAUCUAAACAUAUUAUCGAUUGUAGGUUAUAUUUCCAAACCUAGAGGCACUGGAAAUCUCCCACAUGAAACACUUAAAGUCCAUAUGGCACAAUAAACUAGCUCCAAAUUCCUUCUGCAAAUUGAAGCAGCUGAAAAUUCAAUUCUGCAAUGAAUUAUCAAAUGUAUUUCCAUCUUUCGUGCUUGCUAAAUUACAGAAUCUGGAGACAGUGACUGUAUCUGAUUGUCCUGUACUCGAACUUGUAUUUGAAACACAGAGUCUAAAACCAGACGGUGGUAGACAAACAAGUCUGGAAAUGCAAUUGCGAACUCUCACUCUGAAACAUUUACCGAUGCUGAAACACAUAUGGAGCGGGAAUCCUAAUAAAAUCUUCAAGUUUCAAAACAUCUGCCAAUUGAAAGUUACUGAAUGCAAAAACCUUAAUCAUGUUUUUCCUCUCUCUGUGGCUACAGAGCUUCAGCAUCUCCAAGUGCUUCAUAUAGAAGAAUGUGGCAUAGAGAUUAUUGUAGCACAGGAUGAAAUGGCUGACACAAAUCCAAAGCUUAUUUUUCCAAAAUUAACAUCUCUGUCUUUAAGAGAAUUGACACAACUUCGAAGCUUCUAUCAUGCAUCACAUACCUUGGAUUCUCCUGUUUUAAGAGAUAUGGAUGUGUUUCAUUGUGACAAGCUCCUACUAUUCAAAAGCAGUGUCCCAAUUGAUACACUACCCCUUCUCUCAAUUGAAAAGGUACAGUUUACAUUUCAAUACUCUUCCCACAAAUGUCAUUUAGUUGUUUCUUGUUGCUACACACAAAAAACAUCAUUUUUAUAGGUGUCUUGGAGCAUGUUCUUUUACCGUUGAAAAAGUAAACAAUUUUCUGUGGAAUUGGGAAAUAAUUUCUUCUAUGUGCAUAAAAGUUUAUAUGAUUAUGUCUGUGGAAUUAGGAAAUAAAUUUAUUUUUCUAAAUAUAAUUUCAAAACACGAAUAGAGUACCGCCUAAUAUGCUUAAACAGACUACCGACGGCACACUAAUAUAUUUAACAAUGAUAAACUAAUGAAAGACCUGCAACAAAGAAUGAACAAUUGGCAUCAAGAAUAAUCACAAAAAUAAUAUCCUGGGUUGUGAUUUUGAUUCCCAAAUAGACCAAGGAUUAGUUGGUAAAGCCACCGAUGUAGUCCUUUGCUAGAAAUAACAACAGCAUGGUAGAGUGUGGGUUACACAUGUCAGAAAUGCCUCGGCGUGUGUAGGCGGUCAGUCGUUUUGGCUGCGAUCUUCUGGUUUCUAGCCAGUUUUAGGCCUGCUAUUAGCCAAUCCUAAUGCUACUGGCAUGAAUGCUGGAUUAGCGACGGAUAGUGGAGAAACAAAUGCGUGAAGGUGCUUUUUGAUUCCUGUUCAGUUGUUAACAAGUAUGAAACGGGUCAAAAGCACUGUUUGAUUGUGAACCGAGGUGAGAGUGCUCCAUUGACAGUGCUGUUGGUGUAAGCCCUAGAGGCCAAUAGUUUAUGUUAAACCUAUCUUAUGUAUCAUGACUUUUAUUAUUGAAUAAUAUAUGGCACUCUUUAUUAUAUUUAGAUAAUGUUAAUAAAGUCCUUAGAAUAGAUAGUUCGUGUAAUAAUAUAUUAAGUGUGACUUAAUCAUGAGAUUACAUUAUCUUAUAGAACGCUAUUCUUAAAUGUAUCCGUAGUCAAAGCUUUAAUAUGAAUAAAGGAUAAUAAUAAAGCGUCGAGACUAUUAUGUAUGUAGACUGAUGACCGCAUCUCAUGGGUCAUAGAUAUGAGAUAUCAAGUCUAUACAUAGAUAUAAAUAUUAGGAGUAAUAUUUAUAUUGGAUUGACCCACUGUGAGAAUACUACAUAGUAAGUUAUGAAAUUGUCAUAAGAUAUUCUCACAAUGAUAAUAAUGUAUAUCGCUCUUAGACCUGAAACCACUAUGAUCUCUAGAUGUGGACUCAAGUGCUUUGUUGCCAUUCUAACGUUGUCUGUAAAAGGAUAACAAUAACGUUGGUUGAUGGGCACUUGAUGAAUCAUGCUGAGGGUCAUGAGUGUCCUAGAUGGGAUUUGUCCCUCCUCAUAAACAGGAGAUAUAUCUUUAGGCCUCUUGAUGAAAUAUGACUAUAAAUAUGCAUGGCCAUGCCGAACUAAGUCAAUAUAAGAUAUUGGACUUAUUCGUUAAAUAGUAUAUUUCGGAAUCAAGAUAAAUGAACAUUGAUCUAUACAAGGGUGACACUAUCUAUGCCUUGGGAUCAAUGAAGAUAUUGAGACAAAGGAGUAAUUAUACACAUAUGUAUUAUCAUGAAAGGUUUCGUCAGAUCACUUGACAUUCUUGUCACUUGGGUAGCCAUGAUGUGUUGCUAGAUACCGCUCAUUGUUUAUAAUAUUAAAUAUUAGAUUUAAUAUUAUUGCCAACGUGACUAGAACCUAAAGGGUCACACACAAAGAACAGUCAAAAGAGAUAUGUAUAAGUACGACUUAUAUAAAGGGUGCGCUUAGUAAAUAAUGCUAAUGAUUUAGCAAAGUUUACUAAACUCGUAUUGGGCUUAAUGAAGUCAAAAACGAGUUUGACUUGCAAAGCACAUAAGGAGUUCUAUAAAUAGAACCCUAGUGCAACAGUUUGCGGUUACGUUCUUUUGCAGAAACCCAAGCUCUCUGACUUCCGUCUUCUUGGCUAGCACCGAGGUUUUGGAGGAGGACUGUUCGUGUGGACUUGAUAGAGGCUCUGCUAUUUGCUUGGCUGUGAUCGUGAUUCCGGUUCGCAAAUUUCACCGUUCGUUCUCAGACCAACCGUUCUAAGGUAACAAUCAUAUCACUGGUUCAAGUUCCAAUUCGUAAUGAUCCAAGGAAAGUAAAUCGAAAUUUUAUUCCGCUGCUCAGGCCCGGCCCUUGGGGGGUGCAAACAGCUCAAUGGAGCUGGGCCUCCCCAAGGUAUGGGCCUCAUAAAAAAAUUUAUAGCCUAGUAAAUAAGUAAUAAAUAAAUAUAACGCGAGUUGUUUUUUGUAUUUGCUGAAGCGGCUCAGUGGCAUUGUUGCAAGCUGGUAAUGCCAAGGUUAUGGGUUCAAAACCCCCAUUUCAUUGUUUUAUGAUAUUCUUUUCCUUUUUUUUUUUUCUUUCAUUUUUUCUUCUUUUCUUUUCCUUUUUGCUUCUUUAAUUAAUAUGAGGGCUUUGAUUUAUACAUUAUUUUAUCUGGAUUUGAGGUUCAUCUAUCUUCUCUUCAAUUUAGCCAAAAUCUUCUUAAUAUAUUAGAUUAUAUAUUUACAAAUGAAAACAUAAUAUAAUUUUUUUCUUCUUCUUAUUUUGUUAGAAGACUUGUAAUUUUUGGCCUAUUCUUGUUGUAUAAGAUAGUUACACUCUAACAACAAAUAUUAUAAUUGUUUUACUUGAAAGAACAAACAUUAUAAACCAUUUAUUUUUGGCUUUGUACAAACUAAGGAAAAAUAUAACCCAGAAGAUUGAUAAAGAUAUUCGCUUAAAUUGUAUUUAUAUUAUUGAUUAGAAUAUUGAUCUUUUAUGUAUUAGUUACAAUAAACACUUUUUUUAAUCUUUACGGAUCUUAUUUUCAAUUUCAAUAGAUAAUUGCUCUUUUAAAAAAGUUAUAUUUUUUAUUUUAUUAGGGGCCUAUUUUCACAUGAGAGCCGAGCCUCCAAUUACUCAGGGACGGCCCUGCCGCUGCUCAUUCUGAUUACGUCGAUUUACCUUCAAGUGCUCCACUGAAGAUGGCUAGGGUUUAUGCGGAAGCGAGCCUCAAAACCAAGAGCUUGCGAUACCAUGUGGAAUUGGGAAAUAAGUUCUUAAUAUAAUUCCAAAACAUGAAAAGAGUACAAAACUAAUAUGCUUAAAUAGACCACUCUUCAACUAACAGGUAUGAUGAAUGGGUCGACUACAAUUAUUACUCAUAAUUAGAUAAUAUAUGCUAUUUGCAAUAGUGAGAAAACUGUUAGCAUUAUUCUUUUCUUUACAUAGCUAUUAGCUUGAAUCUGAUUACUUGUGUUACCUAGGUUGUCACCAACACAAGGGAGCUUAUUCUGAAUUGCAAGGAUGUCACCAUGUUAUGUAGCGGUCAACUUAAUAACGAGUCUAUCUACACAGUGAAAGCUCUUCGUCUGCGAUGUUUUCAUGACGAGUCUGAGAAGUUUCCAACUGGUUUCCUCCAAAGAUUUAUCAAUCUUGAAAAUCUUAAAGUGUCUUGUAGUUCUUUCACUGAGAUUUUCUCAAGUGGAAGCUUUGGCACUGAACAUUCUGAAAGAAAGAUGAAGUUGAGAAAACUAGUAAUUGUUGAACUAAAUAACCUCGAGUUUAUAUGUGAAGAGAAAUCUGAGAUGCAUGUUCUUCAAGAUAUUGAAAUAUUGGCAGUAUCUAAAUGCUCUAGACUGAAAAGUAUAGUUCCAUCGUCAGUCCUGUUUGGGAAUUUAGAGCAUUUGGAGGUACGCUAUUGCGCUGGAUUGGAAAAUAUUAUGAAAUCUUCAGUGGUUAUUAGUAUACAAAAACUUCGAAAAUUAUGUAUUCAUGACUGUGAAAAGAUAGAAGAAAUAAUUGCAAGUGAUGAUGAAAGUGAUGCUUCUGAGCUAGCUUUUAUGAAAUUGAAGUAUUUGAAACUGAUUAACUUACCAAGGCUUAGAAGUUUUUGCAAGGGAAAACAUAGCCUCAAAUUUCCGCUACUAAAGAAGUUAUUUGUAGUAGAUUGUCCCAUGAUGGAAACUUUCUCACAUGGAGUGUUGAAUGCACCAAAGCUCAGAGCAGUACAUGUAAAGGAAGGAGAUGAAUGGCAUUGGAAUGGUGACCUUAAUACUACUAUAAGAAAAUUUGUAGCUAAACCGGUAAUGUCUAUACAAAAUCUAUGUCUCCAAUCAUGAUUCAAAUGUUAUAGCUUGCAUUCUCACAUUGUUGUGCCUUUUCUUGUUUGCGAGUAUCCAGAACUCUAAGGGUGAUUGAGUUUGUCCUCAAAAUUCGAAGAAGGCUCAAGUAGCUGUAAUUCUUCACAACUGCUUGGUAAUUCAGAAAUUCUAUGAUGCAUAGGUACGGGUACGGUACCUGGUCUUAGUACAGAUACGAAAUACGAUAAAUAUUAAAAAUCGAAGGUACGGGUACAUUAAUGUAAAAUAUCAAAAAAAUUAGUUUUUUAGUGAAUUACUACCGUGUUGUUGUAAAAACAUGUGUUAUGGAAAAAACUCAAUUAUAAUAAAGAACGGUAUAAUACUAUUUGUAUUUUAACCAUUUGUUUAACCACACUUUAUAUCAUCAUCCUUCAUAGAUUUACUUUCUUUGUCUACUGCAUUCACAAUUUUAAUCAAAAGCAAGAGAUAUAUUUGAAAUACAAUAAAAAAUCAAAAUAUUUUCUACAAUUUUUCACUGCCUGCACAUUUUUGCAGUAUCAACUACUAUGAAUCGAUCAAGUAAAAAUGAGUUUUGAUCGGUAUGUAUGUGCAAGUACCAUACGCGUAUGCGGUAUGGUACGGGUACUUCACCCUUUUAGGAGUACCCAUGCUUCAAGGACUGAGAGUAUCUAGGAGGAAGAAACCUGUUUAAUUGCACGAGUGACAGUAACGCAUGACCAAUGCAUGAAGAUCAUUGUUUCUCUCAUUAGAAACUUUUGUGUUGAAGAUAUGCAAUUAUUAUUCAUUGUAACUUCUGGUUUCCUUAGUGACACUCCCUCUAGUUUUCAUAAAGCACUAAAAUCAUUAUUAGAGAGAAAUUGCAAUGUCUCAGUUUCCUCUCUUUCUAUUUGUCUCUCUACAACAAAAUGCAGAAAAUAGUGUGAUUGGUUUGCAAUAGUACUGGUUAUUAAUAUGAGCAAGUUGGGAUUGUAGAAGAGUAAAACUAAUUUUGCGUCAUGCACAUGCUAUCUAUCCAUAGGCUCUUUUGUUUAUUGCUAUUUCCAAUUGGCUCUUUGAAUGUAGGCUUAAUAAAUACCCGGUCCCUUAACUUAUUUUAAUUUCUCAGAUUGGUCCCUUAACUAUCAAAUGUUUCAGUUUGGUCGUUAUCUUUGUUUUCGUCAUCAAUUUGAUCCUAUUUUAUUAAUUUUAAAUACCUAAAAAAGUAGACCAUUGGAUAAAGGAAGUUCAUCAUAUCUUACAGUGCAUCACCAACACUUAAGUAUCUGAAAUUUAAUUUUUAAAAAUUCAAAGUAAAAUAUAAAUUCAUUUAUAUUAAUUUAGAAAUAAAUAAAUUUAAAAAAAUUGAAAAUUAAUUUUCGAAAAUAAAAAAAUUCAAAAAAAAUUCAGGAUUUUUUAAAAAAAAAAUAAAUUGGAAAAUUACUUUUAAUUUCGAAAGAAAAAUCUGAUCUUUUUCGGAAUAUAUUUUCUAAUAAUUAGGCAAAAUCGAUUUUUGAUAAUUAUAUUUUUUUCGAAACUAAAAAGAUUUGAAAAAAUUCUGAAAUUUAAUUUUCAAAAUACACAAAAAUUUUAAAAAAAUGUCAGAUUCUUUUUCGAAAAAAAAGUUUUUAAAUUUUUUUCUACAAAAAAAAAAAAAAUUGGAAAAUAUUUUAAAUUUUAAAAAUUUGGAUACCAAUUUAGAAAAAAUUCAGAUAAUUUUUUUCAAAAAUUUUAUUUCUGAAUUACGAUUAUUUUAAAAAUAAUUUUUUUUACGAAAUUAUGAAGAUUUUUCGAUUUUGGCUAAUUAUAUGUUUCGAAAAAGUUCAUAUUUUUCUUUCAAAAUUAAAAGCCAUUUUCCAGAAUUAUUUUUAAAAAAAUCUACAAAAAAAAAAAAAAAACCUGAAUUUUUUCAAAUUUUUUAGAAUUUUUUUUUAUUUUUGAAAAUUAAUUUUCAAAGUUUUUUAUUUCUAAAUUAAUAUAAAAUAAUUUUUAUUCUUUUUAUAAAUUAAAUUUUGGAUACUUAGGUGUUGGUGAUACACGGUUAGAUAUGAUGAACUUCCUUUAUCCAACGGUCUUUUUUUUUAUGGAUUUCAAAUUAAUAAAAUAGGACCAAAUCGAUGACGAAAACAAAGAUAAAGACCAAAUUAAAACGUUUAAAAAUUAAGGGACCAAACUGAGAAAUUAAAAUAAAUUAAGGGUCCGAGAGAUGUAUUAAGCCUUGAAUGUAUAUGAGCCAAGUUUUUAUCAAAAUAAACAAACUUAACUCAUAUCAUUAAACAACGGAAUUGAAGACAAGGAGCACUAUCAAAGCUACAGUGCCAAGCCCAUGAAGUGGCCGCCCUUUCAAGCGUAUGAGCGACCAUAUUCGCUUGUUUGCAAAUAAACUUAGUACUAACCUCAUAGACAAAUCUAUGCCGCAUGAAUCUAUGCGUGCAACUCUUUCUAUGCCGCAACUUGUAACUACCAGCUAUGCUAGUUGAACAAGUGACAAGCUCCCUUCAAGACAAAUCUUGGUUUCUGCUUCCAAUCCCUCUCUCCAAUGAUGAAGGCAUCAUAUCAGAGUUUGAGCAGCACAAUGGUGAUCUUUGACACCUCUUUCCUUAGGACCUUUCCUUUUUUAGUACAGAUUCAAUUUUUCUUUUCAUAGAUUUUACACUUUGUGACUCUGGUGUAUUGAUUCAGGCCUCUCUCGUCGUUUAUAUUUUAUUGCUUUGAUAAAAAAAAAUAAACAAAGUCAUUUAUCUUGUGGUAUAUGUAAAUGAUAUUGUUAUUACCGGUAAUGAUAAGAAGGCAUUAAAGAUCUAAAACAACAUUAUUCAACCACUUUCAAACAAAAGAACGUUGGAUUAACUCAACUCGUUUACAUUAUUAGAACCAAUUGCAACUUAAAUAGCAAUAACUAAAAAGCAUAUAGAUAGAAGUAUAGGCAUGUCGCAGGAUUGUUUACCCUUCUACCUUCACAACACUUGGUCAUAUUAAUAUAACCCAAAACUGUUCUAAAUCAAGUACUAUUUUCUGUAUUUUCUUGUUCAGUGACAAAUAGAAUGAAAGGAAACUAUGACAUUGCUAUUUCUCUCUAAUCUUGAUUAACACUAUUAACACAGGGAAGGUUUGCUAACAAUAUUACAUUGGCCGUUUCAACAACGAAAAAUCAUAGGGUAUAAAACGAUCCAACUUGAAGAGGGAAGGUCACUCUCAUGUAUAAUAUAUUUGUACAUGGAUAAUUAACUCAUUAUAACACAGCUAUUCAAAAUGUGAGAGCACAAUAUAAAAUUGAAUUUGUAAAAGGGUUAAUAGGUCUUUACUUAUCCCCUGUAAUAUAGGUCAUUUCUGGUUUUCCUCCCUAUCUUUAUUCACCCCCCGUAAAAUAUUUUUGUUUUAAAAAUUUUCGUUGUUUUUGACAGGAGGUGAAUCAAAAUAAAAAUUUUACAGGGGAAAAACCGGAAAUGACCUAUAUUAGAGGGGUAAAGGGUAAAGACCUAUUAAUCCUUUGUAAAAUUAAAUGUUACUAUGUAAAACAUGAGAAAUCAUUUUAGCUUCGUAUGGUUAAUGACUGAAGAAAGUAACAGUAUGGUUAAAAAAAGUAAUAGUAAAAAAAAAACAACUUAAUGCAGUCCAAUGAUGAACAUGCACGGAACUUCUGAAGUAGCAUGUCUUUGAAUUCCAACAUUUUAAUCUCAAGAAUUAACAAUUGAUCUCACACACACUUAAUCAAGCAAUCAUCUCCUAUAUUUUAAGUAAAGUUUAGGAGAGAUCAGUUUUGAAAAUAACAGAAAACAAGUGAUGACAGAAGUCAUAAUCAUAAAAAAAAUAAGUCAUUGCACUGAUACAUGAUGAUGAUUGUAAACGCUUCAUGCCAUUUGAGUUUAGCCGAUUAGCCUCGCACACAAAACAUAUGGAUACACCCCCCUGCAGUGGGAAACAGAAUGAAAGAAUAAUUUUCAAAAUGACGGAAAAAGGAUAAUAAUGUAUGCCAAAGAAACUAACACAAAAUUAUUGAAGAACAUGAAAUAUAAUAAAUAAAAAGCCCAAUGUGCUAGUUCUAAAUUACCAUGUGGUUGAGACGAAUCAUCUACUUGAGCCUUCAAUCAAGUUUUGAGGACAAACACAAUCAUCCUUAGAGCUCUGGAUAUUCAUGAACAAGAGAAAAAAAACAGCAAAGUGAGAAUGCAAGCCAUAACAUUUUGAAUCAUGAUCGGAGAUAAUUGAUUUUGUAUAUAUUACCGUUUUCGCUACUAAUUGUUUUAUAGUAGUGUUAACAUCACCAUUCCAAUGCCAUUCAUCUUCUUCCCUCACAUGUACUGCUCUGAGCCUUGGUGCGUUCAACACUCCAUGUGAGAAAGUUUCCAUCACGGGACAAUCUACUACAAAUAACAUCCUCAGCAGUGGAAAUUUGAAGCCAUGUCUUCCCUUGCAAAAACUUCUUAGCCUUGGUAAAUUACUCAGUUGCAAAAACUCCAAUUUCAUAAAAAUUAGGUCAGAAGUAUCAUUCUCAUCAUCACUUGCUACUAUUUCUUCAAUCUUUCCACAACAAUGUAUGUAUAAUUCUUUAAGAUUUUGUAAACUUCUAGCUGUUGAUGGUUUCAUAAUACUUUCCAAUCCAGCACAAUGGCCCACCUCCAACUUCUGUAAAUUCUCAAACAUAACUGACGAUGGAAAUAUAUUCUUUAGUCUAGAGCAUGAAUUUACUACCAAUCUUUCAAUAUCUUGAAGAACAGGUUGCACCUCAAAUUUCUCUUCAAAUAUAAAUUCGAGGUUUUGUAACAUAAUGAGUUCUAAACUUCCCAACUUCAUAAUUGUUUCAGAAUGUCUGGUGCAUUCGCUUCCAUUUGCAAAUAUAUAUGUGAAGGAACUACAUGUCACCUUAAGGUUUUUGAGAUUGAUGAACCUUUGGAGGAAACCAGAUGGAAACUUUUCAGACACAUCGUGAAAACAUCGCAAGCAAAGAGCUGUUACUGUGUUGAUAAGCUCAUCAUUAAGGUGACCAUUGCAUGCCAUGGUGACAUCCUUGCUGUUCAGAAUAAGCUCCCCUUUGUUUUGGACAAUCUAUGAAACACAAGUAUUCAAAUUCAAGCGAACAACUAGGUAAAGAAAAAAGUAUCGGGACAUAAACAUAUAAACUUAAUAAAAACAUGGAAUGAAACUAAACUUGAAUUUUGUUUACUUUUUCAAGAAGAAAAGAGCAAGCAGCAUGACACAUAUCUAUUAUAAAUGACAUUUUUGGUGUGUAUACUAAAAGCAACUAAAUAUGUGCAUGAAGCAUUUUGCCAUUUGUUAGUAGAGUAUUGAGAUGUAGAAUGCACCUGUUCAAUUGAGAGAAGGGAUUUUGUAUCAACUGGGACAAUUUCUUGGUAAUUUAUAGACUUUGGUUUGAAUAGGACGAGCUUGUCACAAUGAAGCACAUCCACAUGUCUUAAAGCAGGACAAUCCAGGGUAAGUAAUCCACGGUAGAAGCUUUGAAGUUGUUUCAAAUCUCGAAAACUCAAAAAUGUUAAUUCUGGGAAAUUAAGUAUUGGAACUGUGUCAGACAUUUCAUCUUGUUCUACAAUAAUCUCAACGCCACAUUCUUUUAUAUAAAUCCCUUGGAGAUUCUGAAGCUCUUUAGCCACAGAGAGGGGCAAAACAUAAUUGAGGCUUUCGCAUCCAGUAACUUGCAAAAGGCAGAGGUUUUGGAACUUAACACUUUCAUUAGGAUUCCCACUCCAAAUGUGUUUCAGCAUCGGUAAAUGGUUCAAAGUGAGAGUUCUCAAUUGCAUUUCCAGCUUUGUCUGUCUACCACCGUCUACUUUUAGACCUUGUGUUUCAAAUACAACUUCUAGUGUAUGACAACAAACUACGGUCACAGUCUCCAGAUUCAGUAAUUUAUCAAGCACAUAAGAUGGAAUUACAUUUGAAAUUUCAUUGCAUAAUUCAAUUUUUAACUCCUUCAGUUUGCCAAAGGAAUUUGGAGUUAGUUGAUUGUACCAUACAAACUUCAAGUGUUCCAUAUGGGAGAUUACCAAUGUCUCCAAGUUUGGAAAUAUAACCUACAAUCGAUAAUAUACUUAGAUCUUCCGCAGUUAAUUGCACAAGCAGCAGAAGUAAGAUAAAAUCAUACAAUAGUUAAUAUUUACAGAGUUGGAAACAGUGUUCACCUCAUCAUUAGAGAAUGGUUUCUGAGACAAAGGAAGACUACCCAACUUUCCAUCAGGGACAAAUAUGCCCUCCAACAUUUGGCAAUUACUAAUCACAAGUUGCUUCAGGUUUACAAAUUCUCUGGCGACCGAGGAUGAGAAUAUGCAUGCUAUGUUAUCACAUCCGUCUAUUGUCAAACUUCUCAAGUUUUGCAUCCAAGAACGACUCGGAAGUUUAUCAUCCCACAGUUUCCUAGAUUUGAUCUUAGAGAGCUUCAAUAGUUCAAGGUGGGGCAUCUCAACCUAUUAACAUAAAGAUUCUCAUGAACAUCUUAUAUUUCAUAUUAAGAUGAUACAAGAAUAAGUGAGAUGAUGCAAUAUUUCAUGGAAAGAUGCGAUUUUUUGAAACAAAAAUACCAUAUUCUUGUUUGAAAGGAAGCCAAACUUUCCAUUUUAUUGUUUGAAAAAAUACAGAAUGGUAAGUUAUAAUAUUAUUUAUUAUAGUAACUCCAUCCCCUUAACCACAAAUUGAAAGAUAAAGAAAGUAGAGGUAUUGGAAGAAUCAUAAUAAAUAUAUGUCGUUUGUUUUUAUUCUUUUUCACACUGCUCUUAUUUUUUUACUUUUGUAAGAUAUUGACUUUGUAUAUACAUGAAAAUAACAGAUGAGUUGAAGGUAACAAGCUGCGCCACUAAGCCUUUUAGGUGACAAAACCAAUCCAAACAAUGGAAACUAGAAUGCCAUUUCAUUUCUUGAACUUUUAAUUCUGUUUCCUUUUGUCAAUUCAAACACAGCGCACAUGAGUUUUUUUAGCUUUAGUCGGCAAUUAAAAUAGGAAAUGACAUCAGGUAACACAUUAAGUAUGUAAACAUCAAAAAAUUUAAAUCUAACUAUGUUGAAACAUCACCAUAAAGAACUUUAUGUGCCUUAAAAAGACAAAUAGUGAAGUAGUCGCGUUAAAACAUAUUUUUACCUUUUGAUCAAUUAGUGCCACAGGUAUGCAUUGUGUACUAUCAUAAUUUUCACCACGCACUUUGAGACUCUUUUCAAUUGUCAAUGGCACGGAACAUAAACUUACGAGACUUGGCAAACAUUCAAGUUCAAGAGAACGUAGCUCGGGGAAGAUAAUCUUCCCCAUUCCUUUUUCUACCUUAGAUGUUUGCACAGCCAUGAUUUCUGUCAUCAUUUUGCAAUUAGAAAUUUUUAUUUCACGAAGUAGGGGAAGAUCUGUAACAAGGGAAUAACAUAUCAGAUUAUUCAACUUGUCACAACCUUUGACUUCAAAAGAUCUUAGUUUGGUAAAAGAUUGAAUUGGAAUUGGCCCAUGGCAUAUUUCUUCCAGGUUAAACAGAUUUUGAAGAACCAAAGUCUCUAAGUUGGGCAAAGCAUGAUAAGUUGGGUAAAGCAUCGAGUUAAUGAUGUACUUCAUAUCAGCAAUGUCUUGAAUGCACAUAUGCUUUAAUUGCGGAAAACCAUUCCUGUUAAGUUCACAAAGAAAAUUUCUAACACAAUGUAUUUUUGCAAGGCACAUGUCCUCAGCUGAAUUCAACAAGAAGUUAAACUCACAAUCCAAAUGAAUACUUGAACACCCAUUGUCUGCGAGCUUAAGUAUUCUUGAAGGUUCAGAAGCACCUCCAGACCAAUCCAAAGACCAUUUCCACAUAUCACCAACAAAUAUGUUGUAUCUUUCAAGCUUUCCAAAGACCUGCAAGUCCCUUGGCAAAACUGAAGCAUCUCGAAUCAUUAUGUCUAAAGUAGUUAGAUGAGACAAAUUCCUUAGCUCAUCUAGACAUGCACUGUUGCUUUGUUCUUUGCUUCCCUUUACAUUCCACUCGAUAAAACAAUUCCCCAAGUACAACUCUUCCAAGCAAGUUAGGCUUGAAAUAAGAUUUGCAGGAAUGAAUCUCAGUCUAGAGCAAUUGGCUAAGUUCAGCAUUCGAAGAUUAGUUAGUUGUCUUAUUUC
This 51102-nucleotide long non-coding RNA is filed under the name Medicago truncatula (barrel medic). RNAcentral describes it as "long non-coding RNA (MTRU_LNC008664)". Lineage: Eukaryota; Viridiplantae; Streptophyta; Magnoliopsida; Fabales; Fabaceae. The record is from RNAcentral.